RNAcentral lists this long non-coding RNA (63268 nucleotides) under Olea europaea (common olive). Its description in RNAcentral is "long non-coding RNA (OEUR_LNC005997)". The record is from RNAcentral. Lineage: Eukaryota; Viridiplantae; Streptophyta; Magnoliopsida; Lamiales; Oleaceae.
AUUACUGACAGAUUUUUUUGGCCCUCGAAGUUCAGUUCCGUGCAUGACAUUACUUGAUAAUUUUACAUUACAAAAUUUAAAUAAUCAUUCCUGGCUUUGUGUCUGUUGAGUGGCAACUGUGACUGUUAAAUACUUGAACUUGGGUGUCCAUCAAUAAUUCAAUAUGGAAAAUUCAGAGGUUUAUCACACUUCUCAUUUCUGUAAUCUCUCUUUUGUGACAUAAGCCUGCAAUGUGCAUAACAACCAUCCUUCUUUAGAAAUCGAUGAUAUACAUUAAUUGUGAAGUACUGGUUCAAAAAACUCUGGUCCCUGCGUACGAUUUAGCACAUACCUCUUUAUUCCAGUUUGCGACACAUUGCGUCCAGAUUAAUAGGCAGGACUGUAGGCAUAAACCUAGCAACAUUCCAUACCAAAACUCAUUCGUUUGGCUUUUUUUUUUUUUUUGAUGGUUGGGAUGCGCAUUUAGGUUUCGAUGGAGGCAGCAAUAUCGGCGGGAAUACCCAGAAGCUUUCUUGAAAAAAUCUGAUUCCAGGUAAUAAAUUUUGCUUUUCUUCUUCUUUUUGUUGAUAUAUUUCUGAUUUUACAAAGAGUCUGUCAUUACUAGUUCUCUAUUAGCAAAUUCACUUUGUAAAUGAUUUGUAGAAUAAGCUAGAUGUUUACAUGUCUGUUGUAGCAUCUAAGGUUCUAAAACCGAAGUUUUUCUUAAGUUGCAAUAAAUAUUUGUCAGUGACUGUAUAUGCUCUGAGAAUGCAUUUGGUAUGGUUGAUAAUUGAUAGUGCAGUUCAUUUCACUGUUCUCCUUUUUAAGAAUUCUGUAGAAUUCUCUUUGUUAAAGAAGUCCAGCAAUAACUGUGCAUUUGAUUGGGCUUUUGAUGGUGAUGCCCAAGUUUAUCUCUCUCUCACUCGCUCGCUCGCUCACACACACAAAAAAAAAGGCCAUACAUCUCAAAUAGGCAAAUAUAGAAGCAUCUUCUGAUUUUUUUUAUGCAUUCACAUUUAUUUAUUUACUGCAAAUAUGGCUAUCAACCAAUGGUAUAGCAACAAAACCAUGCAUGCAAAAUUAUCUUUCUUUUAAAUGUUUAUAUUGUUGAUUAGGACGUGUUCUUUAGUCUUUACUAUGUAAUGACCAUAUAAAUUUCCAGGGGAAAAGGUGAUUAUCAAAUUGAGUUUGAACCAGCUCCUCGGAUCACUGAGGCAGACAAAUCUAACAAUAAAAGGUAAUAUAUUGUAUUUUCUGUGAUGUAAUAUGUAAUAGAGGUUAAUUUUCACGGGAAUGAAUUACCAUUGUUGAGAGUUGAGGAUGCCCUUUAUUUGUUUUGACAUAAAUUUAGAUCCUUCCCUCUAUUUGUGGAGUAUUUAACUCUCUCUGUGACUAUUUUCUCUGGUUCCUAGUCACAUAAAAUUACCUUUUUUUAGCUGUAUGAACUCUUAUCUCAGUUUUCACCGUUAAAUAAAUAUUUUAUUUCCUGAUGCCUAAAGAAUAAAAAAGAGAAUAAAGUACGUAUAGCGUUACAAUUGUUUACCUCCUAUUAUAAUCUAUACUAAAAUCAGCUAGCACCUUCCUCGAGGAUAACUAAAAGUUGAGAGGUAAUCCUCGAAGUACUUAUAUUUUCGCUCCAUCUGCUCUGCAAAAGUAGUAGUAUGUGAAUCAAAUUGUCCAAUUGGUAUCAUCUCUCUUUAAUCUGAUUCAGUUCUCUCAGGCAGCUAUAGUAGUAUUUCUAGCUUUUCUCUAGGCAAACUCACCUGUGUUAGUGCAUAUAUUGUUUGCACUAAAUAUGAAAUAUUGUCUCGUAGGUCAUUACAAAGAGCACUAGACCGAAGGUUGUAUCUUCUCCUUUAUGGCCCAACAUUUGGUUCUCCUAGUGGCAAAAGUGUCUGGCAUUUCCCAGAGAAAGUUUAUGCAUCUGAAAAGACUCUGCGCGAGGUGGUUCUUACUUUCAACCUUUUUUUUUUUUUGAUGUUCCCCAAGUUUUUUUCUGUUUUUACUUUUGAAAUUUAUUGAUUCUAAAUUAUUAGAACCAGGAAAUUAUUUCCAUAUAUUUGCAGUGUGCAGAGUCUGCAUUAAAAUCUGUGAUUGGAGAUCUUUCUCACACUUAUUUUGUUGGCAAUGCUCCAAUGGGCCAUAUAGCAAUACAGCCUGCGGAAGCUGACCAGGGUAUAAAUUCUUUCAAGGUAAACAUCUUAAACCUUUUCGUUGGCUCUUAGUAAAUGCGUAUAUGUAUUGUUUCUGUGGACAACAUUCACUUUGUGAAUGCGCCAACUAGAAGAUUUCCCGGCCAUAAAUCCCACCACGUACUUUUGUAUUCUUAACUCUAUUGUUUAACAACUUGCAACUUUUGUCAGCGCUUCUUUUUCAAGUCUCAAGUGAUCGCUACCAACAAGUUUAAUGUUAAAGAGUGCGAAGAUUUUGUCUGGGUCACAAAAGAUGAACUAUUGAAGCAUUUCCCCGGGCAAGCUGAAUUCCUGAACAAAAUGAUCAUCAGCUGAUAUUUCUUGUCCUUUCUAUUAUUUAGAUGCUUGGAAUAAAUUUCAUGAAAAUCUGUUGUCGGCUCAUUGGAUCUGCCCAUGUUUCCCAAAGCACCAUCUUGUAUCCCUGUGAAUCUGAUGAAUUUUGACACUUCAAAGAAAUUGUUCGAAGUUGACUCUACGAUGAUCAGGCUGCGAGUGGUUUGCAAUUGCAUUUAUUUUUACCAAGUCCUAUUAGAGAGCAUUUGAUGGAAAGUAGGGAAUUUUGGUCACCCUACCAUUUUUCCUGCCCCCCUUUCUGAAACCUGUCUGUGGUGUUCUUGUGUUUACAUUUUGUUGAAAAUCUUUAAUUUAUGCACGGCAGAUAGAUACCAUAUAUAUUGUUGAAGAAGUUUUGGUUAUAAUGUAUUUGUUGCAGCUGGUAAUAGCCACCAGAUAGCUUGAUCUAAGGAAUACAAGUUCUGUAGCAAAGGGAUUGAAGGCACCUAUUUUUCUUCUCGUUAUUGACUAGUCGAAGAGCAUGGUUAGCUAAGCUUAAAAGCGAUUAAAGUAAAUUUUGUUUGGAUACAUUAUAUUUUUAUUAUUUAUGAACUUUUAAAGAAGUUACAUUGAUAGUAAAAUAGGGUUACUAACAAAAAAAAAUGUUAUUUAUUCUUUAAUCUUAAUGACUUAGCCAUUGGAGAUGAAUUUUAGUUAUGGACAGAAUUAACAGAAGAUAAUUUUGAACUUAGGCUCUGUUUGAUUGCACGAAAUUUUCCAUGGAACUUGUAAUUCGAAUUUCAACUUCCACUUUUGGUCUGUUUGAUUGACAAAAUUUUUCAGGAAAUUGAUUUUUCAUGAAUUUCUGGGUACAACAUCUUAAUGCGUGAUUUUCCAUCUUUUAUUUUUCUAGGGGUAGGUUGUUUUUGGUUUUUCACCUUUUUUUUUUUUUUCACUUUUUGUUUUUUUUUUAAUUGUUGGCAAUGAGAACAAAUUCUAGAAACAAUUGUAAAAGAAGAUAUUCCUGAAAUUGACAAUUUUCAUGCAAAACAAAGCCAAAUGAACGCUAAAAUAUAGAUGAUUUUUUGAUCUUUUUUUUUUGUUGGCAAUGGAAACAAAUUCUAGGAACAAUGGUAGAAGUGAAUAUCCCUUAAAUUGAAAAUUUUCAUGUAAAAUAAAGUCAAAUGAACACUAAAAAUACUUUUACUUCAAUAUUUUCUACGUGAAAAAUUAUACUAAUCAAACACAAUAAUUUACAAUACUCAAGAAAAUAAUUUCUAGGUAACUCAAGUCCCUGAAGUUUAUUUUCUUUCCACUCAAAUUUUAUUUUCGCAAUCAAGCAGACCCUUAGAUAUUUUAGGCAUCAAUGAAUAUUGAAAAUUGUAACCCUUUUUCUACAUGCAAAAUUUUGAACUAAUAAAUAGAAAUUAACACAAUAUUUUGUAGAUGCUUUAUAUGUUUAUAUUUUUUGGGAAUCAUUAGCAAAUGUUUGGUGACCGGUGACCCUAUCCAUCUGCUCAAAAGGCCUAUAACCCGUUAAUUUUAAUUGCAAUAUAUGAAGGAAAUUACCAAAUAUAGCGCACUUGUAUGUACCCAAUAACCCAAAGGACAUGUAAUCUCAAUACAAAAUUGAAGGCUAGAACAAGAAUACAAAUCUUGCAAUUCAAAAUUGUAGGCGAACUCUUCUUUGGCAUCAUAUUAAUCUUAAAACACGUGCAAGAAAUUUAAUUUCAAUGUUAGAAUCUGAUCAAUCUAACUUCUUUCAAAUUUGUGGUUAUUUUUCUCUCUAUACUUUGUUUAGGUUAGAAAUUGUGAAGUUAUAAUAUCAAAUAUUGUUGGGUAGUAUAUGUUUUAGUUUAAAUUUGUGCAUUGUGGUUUGAAUUUGAGUUUAAAUUUUGGCUUUGUGUCAUUCAUCGACCCCUAACGGUGGCAAUGUUCUUCACGGACUGUAAGGGUCGGUGAGGAACAAUCCUGACAAAUCCUUGCAGUUGGUGAAAAUGGUUCAUCAUUGACCCCCAGUCCGAGAGGACCUUUAUUUCACAGGCAUGCUUAGCUGGCCCUAUGUUUAAUAAUUUGCUUAUUUAAUUACUAAUUCAUUUGUUAUUGUUGAGCGAAUUGCCCGAAUAGUCACUGAACUUUGUAAAAGGUUUCCAAGGAGUCUUUGAACUUUAAAAUUAACUAAAUGGUCACUAAACUUUGCAAAAAGUUUUUCAGAAGUCACUGAAUUUUAAAAAUCACUUAAAUGGUCACUGAAUUUUGUAAAAAAUUUCCUAGAAGUCACUGAACUUUUCAACCCCUAAACCACCUUAGAACCACCAAUUAUGGACCACCAAAAUCCACCCUCCAGCAACCUUGGCCGCUGGACAGACAUACCACUUUGAAGCCCUCACUUCCCUCUUCGUAACCCACCCGAGUUCCGGCCAUAAUGCCAACUGAUUUGGCCGAAAAUUCAAGCCAAAAUGGGCUGACCAAGCACAAAAAUGACUAGAAGUGAACGAGUCACCAGUUUUGGACCACCAAAACUCCACUGUCCGGCCGCCUUGGCCGUUGGACCGACAUCCCACCUUAAAGUCCUCGUUUCCCUCUUCACAACUCACUCAACUUCCAGCCAUAACACCAACCGAUUUGGUAGAAAAUUCAAGCCAAAAUGGGUUGACCAAGCACGAAAAAUGACUGGAAUCUUCAUUUUUUGUUGUUCCAGGCUGCCCAUUUUGGCUUGGAUUUCUGGUCACAUCGGUUGGUGUUAUGACUAGAGCUUGGAUGGGUUGUGAAGAAGGAAACGAGGGUUUCAAGGUGGUAUGUCGGUCCGACGGCCAAGGUGGCCGGAGGGUGGAUUUUGGGGUCCAUAAAUGGUGGCUCUAAGGUGGUUUAGGGGUUGGAAAGUUUAGUGAUUUCUGGAAAACCUUUUGCAAAGUUCAGUGACCAUUUAUGUGAUUUUUAAAAUUCAGUAACUUCUCGGAAACCUUUUGCAAAGUUCAGUGAUUUCUGGGAAACCUUUUGGAAAGUUCAAUGACCAUUUAGAUGAUUUUUAAAGUUCAGUGACCCCUUGAAAAGCUUUUGUAAAGUUCAAUGACCAUUUGGGAGAUAGAAUUAACUGUUGAUAGUAUAGAGUAGAUUGUCAAAGGUGACAUGCGAUUGUAACCUCGAAAAAUCAGAAAAAUGUUGGAUGCUCUAGAUGACAAUCACAAGGAGUAGUUGCGCCAGUCAUACUUCCGAAAAUUCUUUCAUGUAAGUUACAUGCAAUUCUUUGGCCAUAUCAUCGAUUGUAUAUCGUUUUGGCUACUUAAAGAUGACGACAUCAAUGAUUUGUAGUUUAGAUUAAGGAAGGAAAGGUGGUCAGGUUCUCCUUAUUCGAGUUUACCCUCUUUACGGGACUAAACUCUUUAAAUGAAGAAUAAGUUAGACUGAAAAUUUUCAAAUAUGGGCUUACGAGGCAAUUUCGACAGUGACAACUAAAAGAUCAAUAAGAAAGGACCAGUCGAGAGUCUUGAUGGGCAAUGAGAUAAAUUUUACUCUUAGCAACUUCUAUGUUCGAAACAAGAUGUUGUCUAAUUAGACCACGAAUUACGAAUGUCUAUAUAUAUAUACACACACACAACAAAAUCGAUUAAGUGGUUUACAUUUUCACACCAUUAGCUUCUUUCUAUCUCCAGUUUAUUUGUUUCUAAUCAAAACAAUGGCCACCGUCUUCUUCUCCAUUCUUCGAUAAGCCAAUUUAUGAUCUCUACGUAAAUAAUAAUAACUCAGAAUCAAGUUAUCCGAAUUAAGCGAAACCGUAUUCUUCUCUUGAAAUUAAGGGCUGCUAUAUAACUCCUUUCCUUUGCGGAAUAGUUUAAUUAAUGUCAUCGUUUUGAGAUCAAUUUAGGCUCCCUCUUAUGAUCGAUUAAUUUUGAUAGCAUUCAAGACCGAUUAAUUUUGAUAACUCAUUUACACGACUUUUUUCAAAAAAAAAUUACGCUAAUAAUUUACAAAACUAUUUUUCGAUAGGUUGUCAUAUCUACUGAAAAACAAGAAGGAAAAGACUGAAAAAGAAAUAACUUUACACCAAAUAAAAAAUUUAGAUGUAAAAAAAGAUUCAAUUUUCUUUUUAUGAGCAUAGAUGAAACAAAUAGUUCAAUCAGCAAAUAACAUACAAUAGAAGAAUUUGCAAGUUGCAAUGGUCAUCCACUUAGAGAAAGUAAAAACAGAAGUGCAUUAAAAUUGUCCACGUUCUUCAACAUUCAUGUUUCCAUUGAUCUAUAAUAAUGAAAAUGAUAAAUCCUACCAAAUGAUAUGUUAAAAUAAAAAAUACCUUUCAAGUAAUUUUGGACAAUUUUGUUUAUCGUGUGAUUGGCCAUGAAAUCCACAUCCAUAACAAACUCUCUCUUUAUUCACUGCUUUCUCUUUUGAUUUUUUUUUAUUCUUUUUUCACACCCCCUUUUUUUUUGAUCGGUUCUUUUUUUUUUUCACACCCCUUUGCUCUUACUUGUGGUGGUUCAUUGAUGUUUAAGUGCUCUUCAAUGCUUGUUUGCCCCAUGAAUACGUGUUCAGUACCAUUACCGAUGUUAAGGUCCUUUAUUUUACUGUAAAGAUCCUCUAGCCCAUUGAUUAAGAGAUUAACUCCUUCCUUAGUGAGAGAUGCAUCAUCAACCACAGUAGAAGACAAUUGACAUAGUUUAGAAUGCCUUAACAUCAACGAUUGAUUUGGAUUUUCAUCUAUUUCCUCGUCAAUCUUUUCCCAAACUUGGCACUUUUGGUCCACCGUUGGAGAAUAUAUUGAGUUGGUAGUUGCAAUAUUUGUUCGAUUCUAAAAUACGCCAACAUAUGUCUGCAUAGAAUUCCUUCACAUUCAAAUUGUUGACAACGACAAUGUACAAUAUUUGUACACUUAAAAUAAAUAAGUUUUUGAGAUCUUGAAUUAGAAGAUCCAUGAACUCUUUCUACGGUAUAAGUCAGUUGCUUCAUUUUCACAUAAUGUACUUAUAAUGUAUGCUUGACUCUCAAAAAUCUCAUCUUGAAAAGUUUGAAAACCCUUUCUUGUAUAAAUCUUAGACAUUUGUGCCUCCAUUGGUCACACUGAUUUCAAUCGUGGUUUUUCAUUAAUAUUGCAGUGGUCAGCUAUUAACUUUGAUACCUUUGGUGUUCAAUUCCUCUAUUCAAUCAUAUAAUAAAAUCCAUCAAUGACAUUUUCUUUGAAAGUACCUUGUAAGAAAUGAAUGAGAACUUUUCGCUCUUUGACUGCUUGACCUGCAAAAAUAUGUUUAACAAAUGCAGGAACCCGUCGAGCACGCAUCUCGUAUAUUUGGUUAAGCCAAGCAUUAUCUAUCAAUUUAGUAGGCUGCAGCAUAUCUGUCCAACUUGGUUCAAACUCUUCACUAGUCUCAGGAUGUAAAAUAAUGUUCCUCGUCAAAUGGUAGGUCCUGAUAAAUUAUUGUAUUCAGCUUUUCCAAAAACUUAUUUUGAAUAUGCCAUAUACAAUAGUGAUGAAAAGUAUUUGGAAGAACUUCGGCAAUUGCUCUUGUCAUUGCAGGAUCUUGGUUUGUGAUAAACAUUUGGGGUGCACCCUUAGGCAUAGCAUUCAACCAACAAUUAAAUAAUCAAAUGAAUGACCCUAUAGUCUCAUCACUUAAAAAAGCACAUCCAAAUAUUAUUGUUUGGCCAUGAUGAUUGACUCCAGUCAAUGGAGAAAAAAUCAUCGCAUAUCUAUUUGUGUUAUAUGUAGUCUCGAAAAUAAUUACAUCGUUGAAAAAGUUAUAUGCGUGUCUCAAGUAGGAAUCAGCCUAAAAACACCCAAUCAAUCUUUCUUCAUUAUCCCUAUCAUAAUCAAAGUAAAAACUUGGAUUUUUUUUUUCUUUUGUAAUAUAAAAAAUUCAAUCAAUGAGUCAGCAUCAAUUCCCUUAAUUUCUUCUCUCAAAUCUCUUUCAUAGUUUAUGAUAUCCCUCUCAGUACAUCCAAUAUUUUGAGGACCCCCAUAUCCAAUCUCCAUCAAACUUAUUUGUUGACUAGUCGAUACAUUUGCUUUAGAGAAUUGUUUUACUAAGGCUUUUUUCGCAUUUGAAACAUGCCUAUGAGAUCUUAAUAGGUGAACUUUACUAGGUGAUGUGAGUGCAUGAUUAUGAGAUUCCAAAUAUCUACUAACGAUCCAAUUUGGAGAUGAUUUUGAUUUAGUCAUAGUUAAUUUAGCCUUACAACCCAUACUAUUAGACAAUCUAGCACUAUAUCUAGCUUCUCUUGCAUAUUUGUUAUAAAAUUCAUACGCAUCUUUAAUUGUUUCAAACUCUUGCCUGACUUAAGGCUUACGUUCCUCCACAACUUGUGGUGUGAAUGUUUGAAUUGAAGUCUCGUCUUCCGUAGUAAAUAAGAUUAUACGCGUAACCUAAAAAAUAAAAACAUUUAAUUAUUUAUUAUUUCCACGUUAAAUUGAUAUAUUUGUUAGAACAUCUUGAUUAACUAAAUGCAUAAAAUAAUAUAAUCAAAUGUCAAUCCUGCAAAUCUAUGAACAUUUUAAUAAAUUAUUACAAUCACAAGUUACAUGACAUUAGUGAAGAUACCUGGGGAAAAUGUGUCAAGAAAAACCACAUACAAGUGCAAUAAAAAAAAAAGAACUUCCCUCUAGAGUUUCCAUUGCUUUCGUUUUCGUGAAGGGACCGUAGUAAAUGUCAUCCAAACAAACUUAGUUAUCUAGUUUUCUUAUUUCCUUCUUGCAUUGAAUUAACCGUACCGAUGGGAAAUGAGAGGGAGCUUGAAUUUGCACUUCAACUGCCAAUUUUGUAAAGAUAAUAUGAGAAAUGAUUAUGAUUACUUGAAUAAACAUUCAUAAUUGAAAUUAUGAACGAUGGGCAUGCCUGUAUCAAGGAAAGAUUAUGCACCAAAAUAAAUGAAAUAACUGUAGAGUAAGAUAAAUAGAUUCUAAAACGCAUAAACGGAUGAGUCAAUUUUCAUAGUAAUUAACACAAGUUGAACCAAUCUAACCUAACAGUGUCUACAUUCAAACCUCACUGAUGUCUUCGAAAUAAAUUAUAGAAGAUAAGAAGAAGAACUGGAAAUAACCCUGUAUGUAAGAGUAUGUAUGUGUGUGUGUGUGUGUAUAUAUAUAUAUAUAUAUAUAUAUAUAUAUAUAUAUAGAGUGCUAUUCUUGACAUUCUUGAGCGAGUAUAUCUUCAUAUUUUAUAUUUAUAUUUGUUUAUCAAUUCAACGUAUGACUAUUAACACGUGUUGAAGUGUUGAUAUGAGAGCUUGAAGUUCGUACUGUACUUACAGCUUCAAUCAUGGAGAUGGAUUGGGAUAUUCAAGGAUUGUAUUUUUAAUUCUAGAGAAGAUGGUCCAAUCAUCGAUGCGCAUCUUGAUGGAUAUAAGGUAUGCAAAUUUAUAGUUCUAUUUUGUAUUAUACAUGUAAUGAAAUUGUAUUAAUUUUGAUUUUUCUUAUCUAUUUAGGAGUAUUUUCCUAUUGCACAAAUGUCUCCAUCCUGUGCAUAUCACUUCCACAACAAGUGAAGAGAAAUUCACUACAGGUGCUUGUUAAUGAUGCUUGUCUAUUUAUAGUUAUAUUUAGUAUUUUUUGAUGCGACGAAAUUGAAAUAACUUUGUGCUUACUAAUUUUCUUGGUGCAUUGUCAUGUGAUAUGAAGAUCUCCGUCUCUACCUAUAUGUCAAUUUCCUACAUCACAUUGAUCUUCACCUCCUUCACACUCCAUUUGUACUGUCUAAUGAUUUAUUUUAAUGUUUGAGUAGCCAGAUGUGCAUGGUAGGGUAGAGAAUUACGAGUCAUCUGAUAGAGGUUGUGCGGAAUGAAAUAAGAUGUUUAAAGUAGAAGGUAAACACAUCUUGAGUGGGCACGACCCUACCAUCUGAAGAAUGGGACAUAAGAGCUCAGGUAGGAGACAGAUGUUGGGAUAAGAACAAAAUGGAUAGAGUGGUUGGUAGAAGGGAUUGAGGGAUUGGUGAAUAGGACGAAGAAAGUGCUCAAGGGAGUUGAGGGUUUCGCAAAUGAGACGGAAAAGAUGCCCAAGGUAACGAAACAAUGAAAGUGAAAGGUUGAGUUCACAGUGUCGGAGGUGUUGGUUAAGAGAUCGAGAAUAUCAUUACAACACAUGAGUUUUCCAUUUACAAUCAGGACAGAGAUGAGAACAUUCGUGAAUGACAUGUAGGAAAACAAGUCGCUAGUGGAUGAAACCAAUUGUAUAAGUUUUAUUCAAUUACAAUAGCCGACUAUUGAAAUUAAUAACCACAAGGCAAACGAUUUCAAUUUAUCAAAAAAAUUCCGUUUCAUAAUUUUCCAACGAUUGAAAAAAAAUGUUUAACAACACAAAAUCAGAAAUAUAAGUUAACUGCAGGCUAAAACUGUAAACGAUGAAUUUGGAAGCUGCACAUUAUGGAACUACAAACUGCAUGAAUUAAAUAGUAAUAUGAAAAUAAUCCGUAGAAAGAAAACACAAACUGCAGCAGGUUUCAAACCGAGGCCUGUGCGUGCAUAGUUUCCUUAAGACAGUUUCGCCCCUUCACUGUAGGUGCUGGAGGUUCAGUUCGAGCGGCUGUCUCCCAGGAUACAACGAUAAUAAGCAGAAUUCGAGCAGCACGGUCCUACUCCGACAAACUGAUCUAGUAUCCGAACAAUAUCACCACAAGAACAAGACCUUACUGGACAAGGAAUGCAGAAAAGAAGAAACUGUGUAUGCAGGAAUGUAGGUGAGAUUUUCGAGUGUGUUAGAUUGCUGGAGAAUGAACCUUUUUAUAGGCAUACUGCCCAUUAAUAUUGUGACCAUUGGGAGUCCACUGGAGUUACUUCCCAUUAACACUGUGACCAUUGGGAGUCCAUUGGAGUUUUUUCAGUUUAGAAACUCAAAAGUCAUUGGAGAAAGCCAAAAAAAAUUAGCAAAACGUGGGCUCACCGAUGGGACCAUUUUUGUCUUGUUUGGUUCGACAUUUGUGUGCGCAGGUCGCGCUCGUACCCAAGUUCAAGGUCCGAAAACUAUUUCGAUUCGUGAUUUGCACCCCCUGGGCGCGCACGUUGAGAGAACCUCUAUGCUACACAUGAUUACACAUCUCCAAAGUAUAGACAUAUAUAAAGUGGUUUAAGUUUCCUUGGUUUUCCUAUGUGGGAUAAAUGCAUUCUUUCCCACAAAAUCAACUUCCAAUGACCAACUUUGAGCUUCAAUUUCUCAUUCACCCGAACUUCAUUUUUGGUAAAUAAAUACAUGAAAUCGAUGUUCUCGCGGAGGAGAACACAUAUCAACUUUGCUAUUCUACAUUGGACCAACAGGUCCCAUCGAAAAUUGUGCCAAAAAUGAGCCGCUCACUCAAUUUUUUUUCAAGAAUCCCCCACAUGAAUGAAAAUUGGGAGAGACACGAAACGUGAGACACAAGACUAGGUGAUAAAGUUCAGCGGUUGAAUCUUGCAUAGGAUAGGUAGGUGUUACCCUUUGAACCUUCUCUUGUGAAAGCAUAUUUACUUUACUGGUUGACCAGUAGAUGCGAUGUCCUUGAACUGUUCUGCCGUUUGUGUAAACAAUGAUAUACUUCACACAGGAUUCUUCCUAACACAACCCAUCAUUGUUAUGUUCGUUUUGGCCAUGAACAUAUGCCUGGUUCUAUGAGAGUUCUUAAGAAUUGAGCCCCACACAAUUCUCUUAGAAGCGACCCCACUUCUCUCUCACAUAGGUGAUUUCUUAUUACAAGUAACCCGCAUUACUUGGCUCGAUUUACGACGCAUAAGAAUAAUUAAAAGCAUAUUGCUUAACCUUCAACCUUACGGGCAUCACUAUUACAUCAUAGGAAUGGAUAGGAGGUAAUACCCUUACAGUGAUUUUAUCAAGUCUUUACAGUUAGGUUUUCCAAUUGAACCUAGAUCUUGGGAUCUCCAAUCAACUAGGUUGGGUUUUCCUUUGUAAUGACUUAUUCUUUCAAGGGCUUAAGUCACAUUCCUUUCGAUGAUUUUAUAACUAACUCUCUAUUUAACCCUUUGGUUAGCGGAUCCGCAAUGUUAUCUUUUGACCUUAUAUAGUCAAUAGUGAUAACUCUAGUUGAGAGUAGUUGUCUUAUGGUAUUGUGUCUACGACGUAUAUAACUAGAUUUACCAUUAUAUAUGUUACUCUGUGCCCUUCCUAUUGCCAAUUGACUGUCAAAAUAUAUGCAAAUUGCUGGCACAGGUUUUGACCAUCUUGGAAUAUCUUUUAAGAAGUUGCGCAACCAUUCAACCUUUUCACCACAUUUAUCUAGAGUUAUAAACUCAGAUUCCAAAGUAGAUCUGGUUAUAACCGUUUGUUUAGAGGAUUUCCACGAUAUGGCAGCACCACCCAAUGUGAACAGAUAUCCACUGGUGGAUUUUGAGUCUUUUAUAUUAGAUAUCCAAUUAGCAUCACUGUAUCCUUCAAUAACUGUUGGAUAUCUAGUAUAAUGUAGUCCAUAGUCAUGAGUAUAUUUUAAGUACCUUAGUACUCUUACAAUUCCUAUCCAGUGAUCAGCUCCUGGAUUACUCGUGUAUCUACUCAGUUUACUGACUGUGUAGGCUAUAUCUGGUCUAGUACAACUCAUUAAGUACAUUAGACUUCCGAUAACUCUCGAGUAUUCUACUUGAGAGAUACUUUCUCCUUUGUUUUUAGAUAGAUGUUGACUCGUAUCUAUUAGUGUUCUAGCCAAGCCAGUAUCAUCCUUAUGAAAUUUUCCUAAAAUUUUGUCCACAUAAUGUGACUGACUUAGAACAAGUCCAUUUGAUGUUCUUGAGAUUUUUACUCCAAGUAUAACAUCAACUAAACCCAUAUCUUUCAUGUCAAAUCUCGAAUUUAACAUAUUUUUAGUGGAUUCAAUCAUCUUAUUGUCACUACCAACAGUAAGCAUGUCGUCAACGUAAAGACAUAAGAUAACAUAUCCAUCUUUAGUGUCUUUGACGUAAACACAUUUGUCACAUUCAUUGAUUUUAAAUCCACUCUCAAUCAUGACAUUGUCAAAUUUUUCAUGCCAUUGUUUUGGUGUUUGUUUCAAGCCAUAUAGUGACUUCACCAGUUCACAGACUUUCUUUUCCUGUUCUGGUGACGAAAACCCCUCAAAUUGUUCCAUGUAAAUUUCUUCUUCUAAAUCUCCAUUUAGAAAGGCAGUUUUAACAUCUAUUUGAUGUACUUCAAGAUUUCGCAAAGCGGCAAUCGCAAGUAUCAUCCUAAUAGAUGUUAUUCUCGUCACUGGAGAAUAUGUACCAAAGUAAUCAAGGCCUUCCCUUUGUUUGUAGCCUUUAAUUACUAAUCUAGCCUUAUACUUCUCGAUAGUUCCAUUUGAUUUCAUUUUCCUUUUGAAAAUCCAUUUUUAGCUUAGUGGUUUGCUUCCUGGAGGAAGAUCCACUAGCUCCCAUGUAUGAUUUUGUAGUAUGAAAUCUAUUUCACUUUCAAUGGUUUCUUUCCAUUGAGGUCCUUCCGAGGAAUUCAUUACUUCUUGAUAACUUUGAGGUUCACUUUCUAGCAUAUAGGUCAGAAAAUCAGGACCAUAAGAUUUUUCUGUCCUUUCCCGUUUGCUGCGUCUAACCUCAGUCUCCUCUUCUAAUUCUUCGUUCUGACUAUUUUCAGUUAUUGUCUCAUAUGUUCGUUUAGAGGAACUUGCUUCCUCUUUGGAUAUGUAUGGAAAUACUUCUUCAAAGAAUGUAGCAUUCCUUGAUUCCAUUAUCGUGUUUUUGUGUAUGUUUGGAAUUUUUGAAUCAUACACAAGAAAGCGAUACGCACUGCUAUUAUGUGCAUAGCCAAUGAAGACACAGUCUAUAGUUUUCGGGCCCAUCCUUACCUUCUUUGGUGGUGGAACAGCCACUUUAGCAAGACACCCCCACACUCGCAAGUGUUUAUAGGUAGACAUUCUUCCUUUCCAUAACUUAUAAGGGAUCUUUUCCGAUUUUUUUCGGGGCACCUUAUUUAAAAGAUAAUUUGUUGAUAACACAGCUUCCCCCCACAUGUUCUGAGGUAACCCAGAACUUACGAGCAUUGCAUUCAUCAUCUCUUUUAAGGUACGAUUUUUUCGUUCAAUUCAUAUUGUGCACAGAAUUCAGCAAAUGGUGCUUCAUUCUCACCACCUUGAUCACUUCGCAGCACCUUAAUUUUCUUAUUAAGUUGAUUCUCAACUUCAUUCUUAUAGAGAAUAAAUUUCUCUAUAGCUUCAUCCUUACUUUUAAGCAGAUAUACAUAGCAGUAUUUUGUGCUAUCAUCGACAAAAGUAAUAAAAUACUUGUUGCCACCUCUUGUUUGUACAAGUUUUAGGUUACACACGUCAUUGUGAACUAAAUCUAGUGGUUCUGUAUUCCGUUCAAUUGAUUUAAACGAUGACCUUGUCAAUUUUGUUUCAACACAAGUUUCACACUUAUGUUUGGAAUCGUUAUUGAACUUAGGUAUGCGGUUAGAGUUAACUAGUCUUUGUAAAGUAUCAUAGCUAAUGUGUCCUAAUCUACUAUGCCACAAAUUAGAAGACUCAAGCAAAUAAGCAGAAGAACUUGCUUUAUUCAUUUUUGGUUUCACAACCAUUACAUUGAGUUUAAACAUACCGUCGGAAACAUAAUAUUUUUCGACAAACAUUCCAUUUUUUGACAGAAUGACUUUGUCUGACUCAAAAACAAUGUGGAAACCAUGCUUAUUCAAAAGCGACCCGAACACUAAAUUCUUGCGAAUUUUCGACACAUAAAGCACAUUGUUGAGAGUCAGCUUCUUUCCCGAGGUCAUCUUCAGAACCACUUUUCCUUGACCCUUGAUUUCAGAAGUUGCUGAAUUUCUCAUGAACAACUUCUCCCCAUUCUGAACAGCUUCGAACGUAUCAAACAUCUCUUUAUCAGAGCACACAUGCCUUGUAGCAUCAGUGUCAAUCCACCACUCUUUAGGGUUUGAACCCACUAUGUUUACUUUAGAAAUGACUACUGCGAGAUUCAGCUCCGACACAUCUUGUGCCAUAUAGUCAACCACGUUCACUUCUUUCUUCGGUAAUCUACAUUCCGAAGACUUGUGACCCACUUUGUCACAAUUGAAGCAUUUCCCUUGAAAUUUCUUCUUGACAAUUCCACCUUUCGGUCCUUGCUUGGUUAUUUUGCCACCGGAUGGCCCAGACUUGUUUUUGUAGUUCUUACUACUUUGACCAAACUCUACAACAUUGGCUUUGACCACACCAGGAUUGAACCACUUCUUCUCAGAACUCUUGUUGUCUUCUUCGAUUCGAAGUCUAACAACGAGUUCUUCGACAUUCAUUUCCUUUCGUUUGUGUUUCAAAUAGUUCUUGAAAUCUUUCCACGCGGGGGGCAAUUUUUCUAUUAUUGCAGCCACCUGAAAAGUUUCACUCAACAUCAUUCCUUCGGCAUGAAUUUCGUGAAGGAUCACUACGAGUUCUUGCACUUGACUGAUAACAGUUUUGGAGUCCACCAUCUUAUAGUCUAGGAAUUUGCCGACUAUAAACUUUUUAGCAUUGGCAUCCUCAGUUUUGUAUUUUCGAUCCAAGGACUCCCACAAUUCCUUAGCAGUUUUCAUGGUGCUAUACACAUUGUACAACGCAUCUGCUAGGCUGUUCAUGAUAUAAUUUCGGCACAGAAAGUCCGAAUGCUUCCAAGCAUCAAGUGCACUCAAUGCUUGCACAUCUCCCUCGCCCUCAUUAAGCUUUGGAGUAGUUUCAGUCAAGAAUCUCGUAAGAUUCAAGGUGGUCAAGUAAAAAAGCAUUUUUAGUUGCCACCUUUUGAAAUUCAAGCCAUUGAAUUUCUUCGAUUUUUCUCCAUGAUUAAUCGGAACAGUUACAGUUUGGCCAGUUUGGCUCACAACAUGACUUGGCAUUCUAGCCACAGUCUGAGCCACAAAGGAGCUUGACCCUUGAGCCACAUUAGAACCCACAGCCUGAUUUCCAGCGGGAACAUUUUGGGUCACAUCCAUAUUGUCCGAUUCGGUUCCCGUUUCUGAAAACAAACCAAAUAUUAGUUCCAAGAAACCAAAAUUCAGUUAAACCAAAAACCAACUCUUGUUUUUCGAAUUCACGAACUGUCUUAAGCUUUUAGGAAAACAAGUCCCUAGUGGAUGAAAUCAAUUGUAUAAGUUUUAUUCAAUUACAAUAGCCGAUUAUUGAAAUUAAUAACCACAUUGCAAACGAUUUCAAUUUAUCAAAAAAAUUCCGUUUUAGAAUUUUCCAACGGCUGAAAAAAAUGUUUAGCAACAAAAAAUCAAAAAUAUAAGUUAACUGCGGGCUAAAACUGUAAACGAUGAAUCUAAAAGUUGCACACUAUUGAAUUACAAACUGCAUGAAUUAAAUGCGAAAAUAAUCUGUAGAAAGAAAACACAAACUGCAGCAGGUUUCAAACUGAGACCUGUGCGUGCACAGUUUCCUUAAGACAGUUUCGCCCCCUCGCCGUAGGUGCUGGAGGUUCAGUUCGAGCGGCUAUCUCUCAGGAUACAACGGUAAUAAGUAGAAUCCGAGCACCACGGUCCUAUUCCGGUGAACUAAUCUAGUAUCCGAACAAUAUCACCACAAGAACAAGACCUUACUGGACAAGGAAUGUAGAAAAGAAGAAACUGUGUAUGCAGGAAUGUAGGUGAGAUUUUCGAGUGAGUUAGAUUACUGGAGAAUGAGCCUUUUUAUAGGCAUAUUGCCCAUUAAUAUUGUGACCAUUGAGAGUCCAUUGGAGUUACUUCCUAUUAACACUGUGAUCAUUAGGAGUCCAUUGGAGUUUUUUCAGUUUAGAAACUCAAAAGUCAUUGGAGAAAGCCAAAAAAAAAAAAAAAUGGCAAAACGUGGGCUCACCGAUGGGGCCAUUUUUGCCUUGUUCGGUCUGACAUUCGUAUGAGCAGGUCGCGCCCGGACCCAAGUUCAAGGUCCGAAGGCCAUUUCGGUUCGUGAUUUGCACCUCCCUGCGCGUACACGUGGAGAGAGCCUCUAUGCUACACAUGAUUACACAUCUCCAAAGCAUAGACAUAUAUAAAGUGGUUUAAGUUUCCUUGGUUUUCCUAUGUGGGAUAGAUGUAUUUUUUCCCUCACAAAACCAACUUCCAAUGACCAAAUUUGAUCUUCAAUUUCUCAUUCACCCGAGCUCCAUUUUUGGCAAAUAAAUACAUGAAAUUGAUGUUCUCGCGGAGGAGAACACAUAUCAAUUUUGAUAUUCCACAUUGGACCAACGGGUCCCGUCGAAAAUUGUGCCAAAAGUGAGCCGCUCACUCAAUUUUUUUCCAAGAUGACAUAAUGGUCAAUCUCUUCUAGAGGUAUACUUGGUUAAAGAGACCGAGUUCCUUAAAUGGUACAAUAAGACAUAUAGCCAAGAAGCAACGUUGGCAUUUAAGCUAUAUAGUGAACCAACUUAUAGUUAUUGAUGCAUUUGAUUACUUUAAGUUUUAGCAUUGUACAUCAUUUGGGAAAUGUUUGAACCUAUGAAGUACUAAGAGACAAAGAGUGGCUUGAAGAGGAUGUAAGCACAAUUUUUACAUGAAGUAUGAUUAUAUGCUAUAUAUUGUUAUUUGGUUACCGUUUUCAUAAAUAUAACACGUCGACUUGAUGAUAUAUUUGUUGCAACUUUGGACAUCUAUGUAUCCAGAACAAUUUGACAUUCGAAGAGUUAUUCUAGAUUUUGCAUUCAAAAAUUCAUAGGAAAUCGAGUAGUUGUAUAGAACGUAGAUCUGAAUAAGUUUAUGGUGCCAUAUUAAUUCUUUGAUUACAUGCAAGGGAAGUUUUCAUUGCUAGAAAAGAAAUGGGAGGGCAGUAUGUAUGUGUACAUUCUAGUGUUAGAAAACAUACACUGGCUUAGAACUGAGGUUUAUUUUUCUAAGUCUACUAUAUAUGUGUAUGACUUUGACAAGAGCUGCUUACCUAAAGUCAAAUUAAGAAGCAUGAUAAGAGUAUUUUGCACACUUAUCUAAUCUAGACCAUUAAAUUAGGAUAUUUUGUAUUACUUUUGAUAAAUUAUAGUCUAUCCUCAUGUAUGUAUCGUUUAUUAAGAACAACUCAAUGAUUUGAAGUUAAUUUGGAAGAAAGAAGCAAAAUAUCGAUGAAAAUUGGUGAAAUUCAAAGUUUCGGAAUCAAACUGCAAUUAUCUAAAGGUUGAUUCGGACCACAAACCGAUAAUUGAAGAUUGCUAGGGUCAAUUGGAUGUAAUAAGAAGUCAAAAAGGAAUAAAAUAUAAUCAUAGGAUCUUUACAAGUCAAUUUCAAAUCGCAAAAGGCAUAUUUCGAAUUUUCGACCGAAGUUGAAAACCCACUAUUUGAAUAGUAAACAUUCGAAUUGGAAAUAUUUUAUUUUUAGAAAAAUUGUAUCCCUUUGAGUUAGUUUUUCAAUACAUUUUGAAUCACCUCAAUUGGAUAUCGAGAUAGAAAGUUAUAACCAAAAUACUGACAAUUAGGUAGUGACAUAAACAUGUUCGUGGGAAAGCAACUUUUUUAUUUGAUUUAAAUUCCUUUGGAAGCCAAUUUGGACGCGAAUUUUGAUCUAAUUUCACCAUAAAGAAUGCAAGACAUGGGCAACAAUUGAAGGAUCUCUCCCUCACUUCUUAAAUUACAUCCAUAUCAUAAAAUUAUUCAAGAACGAAGGGCAAAUUUAAUAUAUAUUGAAGGGGAGAACAAGUCUAGCAAGGGAUUGAAUCAAGAAAUAUCAAGAAUUUAAAGAAUCAAAUCUUAGGGUUGAUAAUCAGGAACAAGAAUUGGACCAUGACAUUUCUUUCUUGUAUUUAUAAAUUUCAGGUGAUUUGCUUCCAUUCUUCUUAUUGUUUUAUCAUUAGAAACGUGUUUAGCUAGAUUUCUUCGUAUUGGGUGAAGAUGAACCUUAUUAUUAUUUAUUCUUAAUUCAAUGCCCAAGUAGUUUAGUAAAUUUAUUUUCUUGAUUGAUCUUGUAUGCUUAUUGCAUUAUUUGAUCACCAAUUAAAUAAUUAGUCGGUUGUUGUAGUGUUGGGAGGUGACAUUAGGUUUAGAACACCACAAUUUCAAUAUAACGGGAAUAGAUGUUAGGAAUAACAUGUAUGAUGUAUGCAAUCUUGUUGAUAAUUUUGUGAUUGAACGUGUGUUAUGUAUAUAAUUCGGAUUAGGAAUAUGACAGGAUCGUGUUUAGGAUAGAAUUAACUUAUUUUGGAAAAGAAAGUAGAAUUGGAUUAUCGAUUGCCAUACAUACAAAUCAUGUUAAAUUAUGUAAGUCGAUAAUUGGAAAUAAAAAUAAUAAUAGGUGAAUUGAAAGUCCAACACAUACAUUCCAUAUUUAAUUAGAAACAAUUGUAGAUAAAACUAUAAUCAAAUAAUCUCUUUUGUUAUUUACAUUCGAAUUUGAUAAUAAGUUGAUAAAUUUCACUUUAAAGCUUAUUCUUCGUGGGAAGAUAUUCUUAACUCAUUUAAUCUAUUACUUGUCAACGAUCCCGUUAGCUUGCAUUUGUUCGAACAAGUUUUGGUGUUGUUGUCAAGGAAUAACGUUUUUGAAUUGAAUUUAUUGAUUCUUGAUGGAUUCAAUUUUCUUUUUUUAUAUUUUGUUAAUGUUGACUACCUACCCUGACCUCUCUUGCAUUUGGUACUUUUUAUGUACUAUUCAGUAGUAUAUGUAUAAUUCUAACAAUAGUAAGAGUGUAAAACAGUUAUAAUAAAUAAUCUCAACAUGGAUGAUAAUUAUAUGCUUGUAGAAGAUAUAUUGUGAGCUUUGUUAUGGGAUGCAUUGUAUUGGGCAUUGUUUGUAUACAAGCUCUGACUCCCGUAGGUUAAAGCUUCUAUAGUUUAUAAAAUAUUUAAGAUGUUGAAAACAAGCAAUUGACAAAUUUGAUGAAGAGCACAUGCUUGUGAAAGAUUAUGUAUAUGUCGAUUGGGAUGAUAAUAUCAUACUUGUAGGAGAUGAUCCUCCUCUAUUGAACAAGAUGGUACUUGCAAAAUAUAAUAAUGAAAUUGUCAAGUUGGAAGAUAGCAACAUGUGUGUAGGAGAUGGGAUAUGGUUUGAAUUUAAAAGGUAGGAAAUAAUCCACUUGAAAAGGUUGAAAAUAAAGAAUUGUCAUUGUACUUGGAUUUGGACUAUGAACCGACUAUUCAACCCUGAAGAAAUAUCAACUAUUGAUAACAGCAUAAAGAGAAUGCAAAUUAAUCACAAAGAAACCCAACGGGGAAGUGACAAUUAAUGAAGAAGGAAUUAACACAUUAUUUCAACUUUAUCGAUUGCCCAACAAUUGAAUUUGUAAGCUCUAGGAUGUGGUAGAAGUAUACAUAGUUGAUUUUGAAAUUGAUGAAAUAAGCAAGUCUUAUUAAAUUGAAAUAGACAGUGUAAAGAUUUUGUGAAUUAAUGAAAAGUGGAUCAAAGUCAAAAGAAGCAAAAUAUGCAAUGCAUCACAAGCUUUCUUUAGAAUUUCAUGUUGCAGAUUUUCAAAGUUAAGCUAACGACUAUUAACAAACGCUCAUUGGAAGGUAGCCCAAUUUUCUUCCCUUUUAUUUAUUGUGCUUUCUAGAUAAUAGGUUGGAUAGUUUUUAUUACUUUUAUGUGCUAAUUAGUAGUUUAGAUGUAUUCAUCCCCAUAUUGUCCUAUAGGUUGCAUUUAAGCCUAUUAUAAAUUGUUCCAUAUUAUUAUGAUUGAUUUUUCUUUAUUAUGUAGGAACACGACAAUUGAAAAUGCAAAAACUAACAAUGGACAAGGAAAAUAACAUAGUCAAGUGGAUUAUCUAGCUUUGAUAAUUUCGUUCCAAAUUAGCUUUCAAAAUCAGACAAAAUUAGGGGAGUCUCUUAUUUUCUUCUUGCUCUUUUAUUUUAUUUAAUUAAUAAUAUUUUGAGACAUUGGAGGUAAUGUCUGAUUUAAGUUUAAGGGUAAUAAAAAUAUUGAGGUUUUUAAAUUUCUUUUGUGUGAUUGUAUGAAAUUUUAUUGCCUUAUUAUGUACAAAAAAUAAAAAUAAAAAUAAAAAAUGAAGAAUUUUAAAAAUCUCAUUUUUUUAAUGCUUGCUUGUAUGGGUUAGUUAGCUUUGCCAACACUAAUUACAUAUUAGUUUAUGAAUUAUGAAAGUUACAAGCUUAGAUUAAUUGAUAUUUGUCCUUGUGAAAUUUUAUACUCUUUGAGCAUGUGAAGUAAGUUAUGUUAUUAGGGAAUGAGUUUAUUCAUAAUUGAUAUGUUGAAAGUAGUGAACCUUAGAUGCCAAACCCAAAAAAUCACUAUAAUAUAUAUAUUCUUAAACUAAUUUUAGGAUAGUUUGAGUGAUUGAACUGUCGUAGAAAGAUAUUGAGAUGAAUGACGAUUUCACGUGUGCAAAUUCUUGUAUGGAUUGUCUAAGGCUAAUAAGAUGAAAAUUAUGUGAAAAUCUUAAGUUAAAAGUUGAUUUUUGAGAAUGGAUGUUUAAUAAAAGGUGUUGCACUAAUCAUUGUAUAAAAAAGAAAAGAAAAGAAAAGUUGUCAUAUUACGAAGCUGACCUAUAAAAGAUCCUAAUGAGAACACUUAUUGAAAAAGGGAUUAAGCUACUACAUGAAACAAGUACGUAAACCAAAACUUGAAAAAGUAGGUAUAUGGAACAGAAGAUGCAUUAAAUGUCUUGAUUAAGCCCAAAACACUUAUUUGACAGAAUUAGACGUUUGGUAAGGGAUUAUUGACUUAGUUUAUUGUUAGAGGUUGAAGGAAUCAAAAUAAAGGAGAAUCCCUAUUUGUUGAGAUAUUGACGUGCCAUUAGUGAUAUCUAUCCAAAUUAGAGGGGGUAAGGAUUAGUGUAUAAAUUCAACCUUAGAUUACACAUUGGGAAUAUGAGGUAAAAGAAUGAGUUUGGAGGUGUGUAUCCCAAUAAUGAUGAAAAGAUAUACAUAUAUUCAUUAUGGGUCAAAAAAUGAAGUAACUUAUGAAUUUAUGAUGUUUUACUUAUUUUUUCAUAUAUACACAUCAAUUUUGCAUUGGAUAAAUAGAAAUUGAUUUCUGUACUGUGAUUUUGAAGUUUUUAACAUUUUAAUAUAACGAUUACAAUAAUGAACAAACGAAAAUAUAUCUUACCAUAUUUUAUUGCAUUAUUUGAUUGACUGACCACCAUUAGGUAAUUAGCAUUGCAUGCUUGUUUGUUAAAAUAUAUUAUAGUUUUGUUUGAGGAUAAACAAAUGUUUUGGGAAGUGUUUGAUAAGAGUAUUUUGUACACUUAUCUAAGCCAUUAAAUAUGAUAUUUUAUAUUACUUUUAAUAAAUUAUAGCCUAACCUCAUGUAUGAAUCGUCAGCUAGGAACAAUUUAAUGGUUUGAAGUGAAUUUUGAAUAAAGGAACGAAAUAUUGGUGAAAAUGGAUGAAAUUCAAAAUUUGAGGAUCAAAUUACAAUUAUCUAGAAGUAGAUUCAGACCACAAUUCAAUAAUUGAAAUUUGCUAGGGUCAAUUGAAUGCAAUAAGAAGUCAAAAAUGAAUAAAACAUAAUCAAAUGAUUUUCACAAAUCAAUUUCCAAUCGCACAAAGCAUAUUCUAGAUUUUCAGUCGGAGUUUAAUACCCAUUUUUCGAAUUGUAAACAUUCAAAUUGGAAAAAUUUUCUUUAAAAAAGAAUUGUAACCCUUUGAAUUUGUUUUUUCAAUACAUUUCGAAUCAUCUCAAUCAGAUAUUAGGAAAUAAAGUAAUAAUUAAAAUACGGAUGACUACACGGAGAUAUAAUCAUGUGCGCGCGAAGCAACUUUCCUCAUUUGAUUGAAAUUCCUUUGGAAGUCAAUUUGAACGUGAAUCCUGAUCUAAUUUCACCAUAUAGAGUACAAGACAUGGACAACCAUUGAAGGAUCUCUCUGUCUCUCUCUCUCUCUCAAAUUACAUCCAUGUCAUAAAAUCAUUCAAGGAAGAGGACAAAUUCAAUAUAAGUUGGAGAGGAGAACACAUCUAGCAAGGAAUUGAAUCAAGAAAUAUCAAGACCUUGAAGAAUUAAAUUUUGGUUUUGAUAAUCAAGAAUAAGAAUUGGACCAUGACAUCUCUUUCUUGUAUUUAUAAAUUUAGGGUGAUGUUCUUCUAUUCUUCUUGUUGUUUUAUCAUUAGAAACAUGUUUAGCUAGAUUUUUUUUUCUUUGGAUAAACAUGAACCUUAUUAUUAUUUAUUUUUAAUUUUAGGACCAAAUGGUUUAUUAAUUCAAACAACUACAUACAAUCAUGCAUUCACAUAUCGUAAUAACAUUUGUUGCCAUGAUACUUUUUAAGGCAAUUAUAGACCUUUGAAGAGAAUUUUGGACGGUCAGUAAAAAUCAAUUUCAAUGUUACUUCGUUUCUCUAAGUUUAUCCAAUUUAUCUAAAUUAUAGACAUGGUUCAUUAAAUUUAUAAACAAUAUAUAUAACACAAUAAACUUCAAUUGCUCAGUCGUGUGCUUAUGAGCCAAUGAAACUUGACUCUAGAGUUCUAACGAGUGUGCCUAGGUACGAUGCAUCCAACGCACUUAUGAUUGCAACAAAACUUUCCUGUGGACGGUAUUCUCGUUUUAGAUUUACAUCCAAGCAAUCGUCUAGCUGUCAUCUAACUAGAGGUGACAACAAAUUGCUUGUGCUAAUUUGGUCGAUAACAUCCCAUUCGACUUCAUUUAGCAUGGGAAAUAUAGUUUUUAUAUACGUUGUUCUUCGAAAAUUAGAUGUGUAAUAAAUAGAGCACGACAUUGUACUGGAAAUCCUGUAUACAUUGCAAUGACAAUUGCAUGCGCGCAAGAUAAACUCUCUGACUGAAACUUUCUAUACUUGCAAGACACAACAUAAGUUAGGUCCACUUAUCACGUCAAACUGAAACUGAUCUAGUGGUCUUCGCAUACAACUUCUCCACUUCAGAAUCUUGAGAAGUUUUUCUUUCAUUGCUGGAGUUAGUGUGCAUAAACACGUAUGCUAAUUCACACGUCUAUUAUAAAAUCAUUCCUACAACUUGCUGCAAAUAUACUCCACCAAUGCAAGAAUUGAUAACUCUUGAUCUUUCUUAAAUAAUAAAUUCAUUGAAUUUACAUUGUUUAUUAUCAUAUACUACUAAAUUCCCGUAAAAGAUUGUUCAACCCCUAUGUCGUUUAAAUAUUCUCACGCAUCAUCUGAUUUACUGUAUCUCUCUCCAAUAUAUUUAUUAAAUUCUUCAAAUCUGUAUGUCUAAUUGUCUAUAUCGCUAUCUUUAAGAAUGACAAGAUUUCUACAAUCUGAUACUUAUUCUUCAUGUUGUCUUGUAUAUGGUACAUGAAAUAGACACAAUGAUCAUCGGAAUAAACAUUUUUUAUACCCUUUAUUAUACUACUAACUUGGUCGAAUACAAAACCAAGGUUCUCGAUGUCUUCGACUACUUCCUUUAACUUUAUGAAAAUCCAAUUAGAUGACCUUUGUAUUUUUCCUUCAAAGAUGUGUUGUUGGCACAAAUUAGGUGUCGCGUUGAAGAGAUAAUCCUCAAAUGCAAGGUCCAAAAGCCAUGACGAAAUAUUUGAAGCGAUUGUUGUUAUCAGUUUUAGUAAAAAAUGCCAAACUAAGAUUAGUUCUCUCCAUAUUAUAGUCAUACAAGGCCAAUUUAGCAUAACCUAGCAUAACCUUCUCAAUUGAAUCCAUUAAAUCCUUAAAACUGGAUUCUUUAAUCUUCAAGGUCUUUUAUCACCUCAUGACAACUUGAAAUUCAACGGAUAUCAUCAUUGAAGUUUGUAAGUCUAUAAAUUAUUUUGGGAUCUUGAAACUUGUACAAUAUAUCUUCUAAUAACCAAUUAUCUUACUUACAUGUGAUCAUUGCGACAAAUACCUAACAAAAAGAAUAAACCAAUUAUCUUACUUACAUCGAACUUCGUAACUCACAAAUGCCAUUUGUACCUAUCAUCUACAUAAAUAAAUGUGUAUACACUCUUAUUUAAUUUCUUUACUUUGAACUAGAAAUUAUACUUCAAUGCUAUCAAGUACACAGCUUCCUAAAAAUAUUUCUUGGUUUCAAAUAAUUGGUCAACUGACAAAUCUUCAUAACGGGAAAUUAUACGUGACAUACGAAAAGAUCGUAAACUAGGUUCAGACUAAGAGUUUCCACUUGACUCAAAUCUACGUAUAGAUAAGAAAUGAGAUCCCCACUUGUAAGUUAAAUUUUCUCCUCAUUACCUUAGACAAUCUUGGGGUUUGUGUGAAUCUUUAGUCUUCGAAAUAACUACAUUGUCCUCUCGAGCUAUUUUCACUAUCCCAAAAGUCAUCCACAUUAGGUUCCACUUUAUCAAUUCCUUCAUGUUCAUUCUCAGAAAUAUCCUUUCUACAAGAUUUAUAUAAAGAAUAGAAUGGUGAUUUUUGUUCAGGUCAAUAAGCCACUUAAAUCCAAACUCCAUUUGGUAUCGGAGAAAUUAGCAUUAAGGAGGUUUUAUACACCAUGAUACAUGUCUAUAUAUAAUGUAUUCACAGAUACACGAAGUGCUACAAUUCAUUUAUUAUUAUUUCCGUACCAUUUUCAAGUUCAUCGACCUUGAUCAUUUCUAACAAACUCACUAAAGUAACGAACAUUGAGGAGCGUCGAAUAUAUAAAUUUAAAAAAAAAUAUCUAAUACGAGCCUGCUAACCUGCGUGGUCGAACUAUCUGUUAAUAGUGAACGAUAUUUAAAUCCUAUAUAUUAAUAAACAAAAAAAAAAAAAAAUUGCCUGUUAACCAAUCUCCUCUUAACAACGGUGACCGCCUAUUUCACCUAACACAACACAUAAUGCGUUCUUCCUAAUAAAUUUGUGUAAAAUUUACUAACUUAUCCAAUAAUUCAUGCUUAUUCAUCUAAACAUUUUAAAAUAAGCAAAAUAGUAUUUAACGGUUAUAAAUGAAAUCCAAACUAAUGAAAUGCAAGAAAGUGAAAAUAUACUUACCAAUAUACAAAUUUAAAUGUUGACUUCUAAUAACUAUUUACUAGAUGCUUUUAUUGAGUUUUGAAGACACAUAUUAACAAAUAGAAUAGAAAUAAGAUAAAUUAGUAUUUGACGAAAUGAAAUAUUCGUGAAGUAAAUGAGUUUUGAUUUGUUAAAAUUUUAAUAUGCAUACUAAGCUAUAUAAAUUCUCUUUUGCAAUUGAAAAGAUAUUAAUUUUUAUUUAUUAUUAUUUUUUUUACAUUUAGCUUAUUUUAGCAAUUUUUAGAUCUUGAAAAAUGAUAUUUUGGUCUUUUUCUAUAAAAUAGGCCCUUAUAAAAUUUUCUAGUUACUAUGAUAGGCUGUUGAGUGAAUCAACAAGAUUGACUAGACUCUUUAGCCAAUGCUCACUGUAUUUUGUGGAAAAAUUGUUGUUGGGUCAUAAACCUUUCACUUAGUUGUAGAUUAUAUCCAAACCUUUGACCUGUUGUACCCAUAGUCCCAAAACUUUCAUUUUAUCGAACCUUGAGGAGAAAUGGACGAAAUCUGUCCAUUUUCCUGUUAGUUGACCAAAAUAUUAAAUAUUUGACUCAUUCUAACCAAUUAAGUGAAGGUCAAACGGUCCAUUCACUAUUCUCACUUCACUCAAAAAGUCUACUUUUUGUUUUCCUCUUUUUUGCCCUAAAUAAACCCCCCCCCCCCCUCUCUCUUUCUCUCUGUCUCUCUCUUACGUGUUAAUAGUUCCUCACCAAUGAGCAUAGCAAUGGAAAUGAAUGUUUGGAGCUAUGGAAGCCCUUUACAAAGACCUCGUGGACGAACUUGAAUCCAAGGAAGAUUUCUCACUUGCCCAUAUAGUCAAAAUAUGGGUGGGAGUAACUUUUUUACUUGUUGCGACCUUCUAAUGUGCGACAGAUUGAAAAAGCUAAUUCCUGCUUUUCUUCGAGCAAGGUGGGAUAUGGAAGCUGAAAUCAAGACCACCCUCAAUUCAACAUGAAUUAGUGUGUUGGAAACCUUGGAUGUUCGGAUUUGUCAUAGGAUUUAUUUUAAAAUAGAUCUAUAACUAGAUCGGUGUAUGAUGUUACUUUUGAAGUUAGACAUCCAUAGUAGAAUGUUGGUUUUGGACUUCAAUAUGUAGUGUUGGAGGCUGAAUUGUCAAUUAUCUUGUAGCAAUGAAGUAUGUCCUUAAUUUACGACGUUGUCAUGGUUUCCAAUUUUUCCUUAAUACUCAAUCAUUGCUUCGAAAUACAAGUGUGGUACAAGUAGUAAAAAUUACUACACAAUUANNNNNNNNNNNNNNNNNNNNNNNNNNNNNNNNNNNNNNNNNNNNNNNNNNNNNNNNNNNNNNNNNNNNNNNNNNNNNNNNNNNNNNNNNNNNNNNNNNNNNNNNNNNNNNNNNNNNNNNNNNNNNNNNNNNNNNNNNNNNNNNNNNNNNNNNNNNNNNNNNNNNNNNNNNNNNNNNNNNNNNNNNNNNNNNNNNNNNNNNNNNNNNNNNNNNNNNNNNNNNNNNNNNNNNNNNNNNNNNNNNNNNNNNNNNNNNNNNNNUUGAUCCAUAUCCCAACAUAAGAAGUCCAACGAGAGCGAUUUUUUUUUUCAAACAAGAAGUAGAAAAGUCAAAAUACAAAAAAAUUAUCUCCUCAGUAUUAUGAUAAAUUGCCCCUGUUUGUUGUUUACCCAUGUUUUGCUCCUCCACUUUUGUUCCAUUCUCAUCCAAACAUUGAUCCUAAACAUAUGUUUGAUAUACUUCAACCUUUAUUUUAUGUUCCUCCAUCAUCAGUAACUCAACAUCUAUUUGCUGCUCCUCCUUCACCUGUACCUCAACAUCUGUUUGCUUUUCCUCCAUCAUGUGCACCUCAAACUUAGUUUCAUUCACACCAAAUUCUUAUCCUCAUCAUCUACCUCAAGCAUUACAUCCAUUUCGUUCACUCUUAGGUUCAUCAACAAUAUACAUGUCGUUAGCUACCAAUGUUUCAUCAAAUACCUUUAUAGCAAGUAUGCUUUCUAAACUUUUUCAUUUUGAUGAGGUUUCGUAUUCUUUACUGGUUAACUAGUCUCGUUCACACUCUUUAAACUCUCGCCAGUUUCAAGAUCAAUUAUAGAAAUUGUAGAUGGUAAUGUAUUAUCCCAUGGAAAUUUCAAACUUCUACUAGAGGAAAAAUAGAAAUUAAUAACCAUUUUCUCAUCAAAAGGUCUCACUCAAUCUCUUCUUUUCAAACUUAUAAAGAUACCUCAUUUGCCCAAAAUAUGCCAACAUCUUUGGCCAUUGUUCAGUAGAAAUCUAUUAAACAAAUCUCCACAUAGUCUAGAUAACUUAUCUUAUCAUGUUCAUACACAAAAUUUUGCAUCUUUGCAAAUGAUAUUCUACCAUGGUGUAGCCGUAAAAUAUCAAUAAUUCUCUCUUAUACAAAAAACUUUGUAUCUUUACAAAUCAGAAUCGUACCCAACAGGUCAGAAAUGUUGGGAAUGGCUUAGACCUGGCACUAGGAAAUGGUUUACGUGUCUCCUCAUGCACUAUACGAUCGCAGAAGCGUGGUUCUCACGCAUGGCCACCCCGAGCAAUUUCACAGCUUUGAAUUCUUCUAGACCACCUCCUGCUUAUUCUAGUUCUCCAAGUACUACUCAGGCUCCUUGAUCCUAUGCCACAGUAGUUAAUAACAGACCGAACAUUAAUCAUGCUGAGAGGAGUCUCAGAAAAUCAUUCGCUUCUAUACUUCGUGCUCUUUAGAAAUCUAAAGACCACAUUUUUGUGUCUAAUGAACCAUACAUCCAUCAUGGAAAGCCUGCUAUAUUUUUCGACGAGUCAGAUGAACAGUUUUUGGUAGAGGCCUACAGUUUACCCUUGUAGGUAAAUUUGUGCAUCGUACACCUUCUAUGAUCAAGGUACGUGAAAAUUUUAUGCGUUUUGGUUUUGUUGAUGAUUAUAAGAUUGGACUUAUUUAUGAUGCACACAUUAUUAUUCAUAUGGCGCAUGAAGAUGAUUACUCACGAUUACUCCUUAAAUCCACUUGGUAUAUUGAUGGUUGACCUAUGCGAGUCUUUAAAUGGACCUCCCAGUUUUAGUCCACACCAUGAGGUAGUGCUACGGUUUGGAUUUCAUUUCCAUUGCUUCCUAUUCAUUUUCGGGCUAAGAGUGCACUGUUUGUCAUAACUAUGGUAUUGGGCUUCUACUUCUUAUUGACAAAGCUACUUUUAAUCUUUAACGAUCUAGUGAGGCCAUGUAUGUAUCGAGGUGGAUCUAGAAUGCAAAUUCCCUGAUAGAGAGUGGAUAGAGAUGGAGAAGAUUGGAGGAUAUUGCCAGCUUGUUGUAUAUGAUAAGGUACUAGAUUUCUACUUUGGCUGUAGACUGGACACUCGGAGGAUAUUUGUUCUAGUGGCUUGUACCUUACACCACUUGAUGUGGCCUCGAUUACUGUUAGGUCCAUUCCAGUUUUGGCUAAGGAUAAGGAUAAAGUGAAGGAAGUUGUAAAUGCACUAAGCCAGAGAUGGACAUCUAUUAAGAAAAAACAGAAGAGACUGGACGGUACAUCAGAUGUGAUCUCUUACUCCGUUCCUCAUAUGGUUCUCUUCAUUGUUCCUAGUAUCCCUAUCUCUACAGUUACUAUAGCACAGAUAGUUGCCACACACACGACCCCUAUCAAUUAUACUACUCUCCUGGCUAUUAGCAUUACUGCUCCACAGGUUACUACUUCUUUGCCAUUAGACCACUCUACAGUUGUUUCCAUUAAGAUUGAUACAUGAUGUCCUCCUGGAAUCACGUCAGCUUUCCGUCCAGUAGUUCAGUCUUNAAACCCCGUGAGCAGUGUACCUAUGAUCGCUAGUUCUACAUAUUUUGACCCUCUAUUAGCGGAUAUAAUAGAGAGGCCACAUGGCUCAAUUGGUUCAAAUAUGCUUGUUAUCUCUUUACAAUAUCAACAGAAUAUGGAGACGUCUUUAUCUACAGAUCUAUCAAAUCUAGAGGUUUUCUCUCAGAUUGAAGUUCAUAAGCACGGUUCAUAUCAUAGAUCUUCUUCUAAAGAAUUAGCAAAUACAGUCGGUAGGAUAGAGGACAAUGGCUUUAUCACGGUUGGUCAGAAGGAAAAUCCUAUAGUCAUUGAUAAUUAAAAUCCUAGGAUGGUAACCAGGAGUCGAUCACAAGAUACCACUUCACGUUCAUCUCGAUGAGUGCUAUCAUUUGAAAUAUAAGAGGUGUAGCUGGUAUAGUUACUCGUAGAUGCCUAAAGAAACUUAUUCAAAUUCAUCAAGUAUAUAUUUUGCUUAUUCUGGAGCCUACGGUGUUGGAGAUGAGUUUUAAUUGUGUUCGUCAUUAUCUGCACUUUGACUCUAGAGUUCAUAAUGAGUCGAACAGGAUUUGGGUCUUCUGGAAUGUAGGCAGUACCACUACUAUUAUAGAUGAUCAGAUCCAGUUUCUCUACGUUAGAGUUAAGAAUCCCAAGCUGGCACGACCGAUUUACUUUUUACCUGUAUAUGCUGCUUGUGAGCCCUCAGUUAGGAGAGAUUUGUGGGCCAGUCUUCACCACAUUUUCCUUUCCAUGGAUGACCUUUGGCUAGUUGGGGAGAUUUUAAUAUUAUUGCACAUGAUGGCAAACAGACUGGUUACAGUAAGCGAGAUCGUGGCUCCAGUGCUUUUUCAGACAUGAUGAUAGACCGUGGUUUGGUGGAUGCUGGGUUCUCUGGGUCUCAAUACACUUAGACAAAUGGUAAGUGCCUGGAUAGAGUUUUGACUAAUGCUACAGUUGCAGAUUUCUGCCGAUAGUUUACUAUUACACAUCUGAGUUGGACAUCAUUUGAUCAUUCACGUUUAUUGCUACACUGGAUUAAUGAUGAUGAUUUGGGUCCGAGGCCAUUUUGAUUUCUCAAUAUGUGGAUCAAGCACCAUGAUUUCUUAGUCUUUGUAUCUCAAAAGUGGUCACUCCCUACUUAGCUUGCAGGGAUGGUUGUUCUCUGGGAAAAGCUCUCUAGUUGAAACACGGGUUACGUUAGUAGAAUCGACGAGUAUUUAGUGAUGUAUUUUAACGGGUGAGGGAUGCUGAGGCAAGGGUUAACUAAGCAAAGAUUGACUUUAAGAAUGAUCCUACACUGGAACACCAUGAUUUGCUACAUCAUGCACAGGCUAAUUUGAAUCAGACCUUAGCUACGGAUGAUGGUCUUUGGAAGCAAAAGGUUGGGUCACGAUGGGCGUGUAAGGGAGACCACAAUACUCGAUAUUUUUCUGGGAUGGUCCAAGGACGUUGAAUCAGAUCUCGUAUCAGGACUAUCAUGACUCAGGCAGAGGAAGAUCUCUCUACUCAUGUAGAUAUUCAGAGCUCAACAAUCUCCUUUUUUCAGGAUUUAUUAUCUACUCUAUCACAGUCGUUGGAUCCCAUACAACCUAAAUUUAUAUCUAAGAUACUAACGGAGGUAGAUAAUUUGGUACUGAAUCUUGUCUCGUCGAUUAAUGAGGUUAAUUUUAGUAUUGAUGCUGACAAUGUUGCUGGCCCGACGGAUUCUCUUCUUUGUUUUACUAGCACUGUUGUAGAUGGACAAAUUAUCGACCUAUCAGCUUGUGUAUGGUGUUUAAUAAGCUUAUCACUAAGCUGUUGAACACUAGAUUGAGUUUAUAGCUGUCUUGUAUCAUUUUUCCUCAACGGAGUGGUUUUGUCUUCGGUCACCUUAUUGGGGAUAAUGUUUUGUUGACUCAGGAGCUCCUCCAUAUGUUGGAUGGUAAAGUGCAUGGAGGAAAUACUGUGCUGAAGCUAGAUACGGCAAAAGCAUAUGAUUGUAUGGAUCAGGGAUUCAUUUACUCUAUACUAGGAUCAAAUAGUGUAUCACAAAGUAUCGCUUUUUAGUGUUCCUAAAUGGUUGUUCAUGUGGCUUCUUCCCAUUUAGGAACACUAAAAAGAAGUCGUGAAGCCCAUCCUGAAAUCCUACUCAUGAUCCUCAUGUGGGCUCAGACAGGGAGAUCCUAUCUUCCCCUCCUUAUUUAUUUCGUUGCGAACUACCUCUCUCGCCUAAUUACUCAGAGGUUUCAGGCAUAUCAUGGAGGUAGUACCCUUAUUUUCCAUCUUUCUUUUGCUGAUGACAUGAUUAUAUUUGCUAAUGGUUAGAAAAAGGCUAUCAGAAGGGUAAUUGAGUGUUUGGAACACUAUAAGGAGAUAUCUAGCCAAUUGGUAAAUAGAAAGAAAAGUGGUCUUAUAUUGCCUCGAUGGGCAUCGAAUAUACGAAUACAGAGGCUAGUGAUUUUGAAUGGGUUUUCACAUCAGCAGUAGCCAUUCAGAUAUUUGAAAGUCCCUUUGUUUAAAGGGGCUAAGAGGAGAUUUCUUUUUGAUGACCUCAUUAUGAAGAUCAUGAGUAGGAUUUCAGGAUGGGCUUCACGACUUCUUUCUCCUGGUGGUAGGAUUACUUUGCUGAGAUCAGUUCUCCCCUUUUCACUAUUAUACCUCUUUCAAAUUAUGUAGCCUCUCAAGGCUAUACUUAAAAAGUUGGAGACCAUAUUUGCAUGACUCCUAUAGGAUUUGAAGGAUCAUGCACGGCGCUUACAUUGGUGAAGUUGGAAAGAAAUGUGUUUUCCUACUGAUGAGGAUAGAUUAGGCUUUAGGAGAUUACAGUAUAUAGUGGACACAUUCUCCCUGAAGCUAUGGUGGCUUUUUAGGUCUCAGAAUUUUCUUUGGGCUCAAUUCUUGUUGGACAAUUACUGUAAAGGGACACAUCUAUCACUUGAAUCAGUUCUUCACUCGGCCUUUCCUAUCUGGAAGAGACUGAAGAGAUUUGCUCCAAGUGUUAAGCCACAUAUUGCGUGGCACCUUGGGGCAGGUAAGAUUUUCUUUGGCAAGAUGUUGGAUAGGUGAUUCCACAUUAGCGUUCAUCUUCCCACACAGACAGUACACAUCUGCAAGGAUGUAGGAUUUUUUAGAGGAGAUUGGGCAUGACUUUGGACCAUUACUAUAUACUUUUCCACCAUUUAUGGCAGAACAGAUUGUGUCCAUUCCGCUUUGUAUCGAUGCCCCAUAUUGCAUAUUUUGGAAGGCUUCAUCAGAUGGUAUAUUUACAACCAAGUCAGCUUGGUAGUUGAUUCACUCUAGUAGGCCAAUAAAAGACUUGUUUUGCCUACUCUGGAGCCCAAUCAUACCUACCAAAUUUUCAUUCUUUUGUUGGAAAUUAUGGCAAGAUUUGAUUCCAAUGGAUGCUGUUAUUCAGAGGAGAAUAGGCAGUCAUCUGGCUUCUCGGUGCUAGUGUUAUUCUGAGAUUGAGACAAUCGGUCAUAUUUUCACUGGUAACAGUAUUUCAUAUCAGGUUUGGCAGCAUUUUGGUCGUUGUUUCCAGAUCCCUAUGAUUGCUGGUAAGAACAUCAGACAGAGAUUUCUGAGUUGGCAAUUUUCUAGACAGUUUGCACAGAGUGGGCAUAUUCAUAUCAUUAUUCCUCUAUUGAUCUUCAAGUUCACUUGGAUAGAAAGGAAUGAUGCGAAACAUAGGGAUAUACCUAUGAGACCUAAACAAAUCAUUUGGAGGGUAUAUCGUGUGAUCUCCUUCCUUCACACUGGAGGAUUGUUUCGACUACUACAUUGGCGUGCUGAAAUAGCUUGCUCUAUCUUUUGGUAUUUCUAUGACUUCCUUCUGCUUCUCUUUCCUACUAUGGUUUGGUGACGNNNNNNNNNNNNNNNNNNNNNNNNNNNNNNNNNNNNNNNNNNNNNNNNNNNNNNNNNNNNNNNNNNNNNNNNNNNNNNNNNNNNNNNNNNNNNNNNNNNNNNNNNNNNNNNNNNNNNNNNNNNNNNNNNNNNNNNNNNNNNNNNNNNNNNNNNNNNNNNNNNNNNNNNNNNNNNNNNNNNNNNNNNNNNNNNNNNNNNNNNNNNNNNNNNNNNNNNNNNNNNNNNNNNNNNNNNNNNNNNNNNNNNNNNNNNNNNNNNNNNNNNNNNNNNNNNNNNNNNNNNNNNNNNNNNNNNNNNNNNNNNNNNNNNNNNNUGGCGUGCUGAAAUAGCUUGCUCUAUCUUUUGGUAUUUCUAUGACUUCCUUCUGCUUCUCUUUCCUACUAUGGUUUGGUGACGCACUCCAUCAGAUGUAUCUGUAAAGAUCAGUACUGAUGGAUGUGUCAAGGAUGGUAUUGCGAGCAGGGGAGGUAUCAUUAGGGAUCACGAAGAUAAAUGUAUCAUGGCCUUCUCAACUUCAUAUGGACAUUGUAUGAUAUUAGAGCCAGAGCUUAGAGCUAUUCUCGACGGAAUACUAUUGGCCAGGGAUCUUAGGUUUUCAGGCAUUUGGGUUGAGUCGGACUCUAUUAUGGCUAUUCAUUGUAUCACCAAAGGUGGAAGACCAUGGGAUACUCAAGGCUUACUUAGAAAGAUUGUAGACAACAUUUCACUUGAAAGAAAUAUGAUUUCCCACAUCUACAGAGAAGGAAACCAAGUUGCAGAUGCACUUGUUUCAGAAGGUUGGGAUCAUUGGAAUUUUCGAGUAUAUGGUCUAGCAGACUAACCACGGCACAUCAGGGCACUCGCACAGAUUAUAUAUAUAUAUAUAUAUAUAUAUAUAUAGUGUAAGAUUUUGGUCUUUGUAACUUUCUUUUUAUGUACAUUAGCAUUUAUCGUAAAAGAAGUAGUAAUUCCUAUUUUAUUGCUUUCCAGUUAUUGAUUACUUUUAUUGUAAGGGAAGUAGUGCUUCCUCAUUUAUUGCUUUUAUUGAUAUUAUAUGUAAUCAUGUAUUCCUUCGUCACAAGGGAGGAUAUAUUAAUAAAAUCUUGGAAGUACCGCCCUCCUUCCACUAUACCCAAAAAAAAAAAAAAAAAAGAUUGAACAUUUCAUAUAAGUUCAAUAAAAAAAAGUUUAAAAACCUAAACAAAUAUAUAUAUAUAUAUAUAUAAAAUUCACUAUACUCGAGUUUGGGGAGGAAGCAUCUAAAAUGACAAGCAAUUUCUAUUGGAUUAUCUUCAUAAUCAUGAGUUUCUUGUAAAAUUAUUGUAGAAGAGAGUGGUGUAGAGUGCUCAUUCUCGUUCAAUUUGUGGAUGUAAAAAAACAUAACACCUGCUUUUUGAUUUUAAAAGUGUGAAUAUUGAACUGAUCAUUUUAUUCUUCACUUAAUUGGUCAAAAUGAGUCAAAUUCUUAAUUUUUGGUCAACUAACGAGAGAAUGGACGAAUCCUGUUCAUUUAUCCUCUAGGUACAAUGAAAUGAAAGGUUUAGGAUUGUGGGUGCAACAAAUCAAAUAUUGUUUGAAUAUGAUCUGCAACUAAGUGAAAGGUUUGGGAUCUUAAUUGCAAUUUUUCCAUAUUCUGAUGAUGACCAAAGAUUUGAUGAUCUAACUCAACAUUAAAAAAUACACACAUAUACAUGUACGUAUAUAGAUAAAAGUGCAUUGUAAAUAACGAGAGCUAACAAGGGCAUGCACGCUUUGAUCACGUAUUUAUCUAUGGUUUGUGGGGCAGUUGAACUGAAAUUAGUUGAAUUUAGUUGGCCUGAGUUUAAUUCAUUGACAAAAGAUGGAAACAACACUCUUCUUCUUCAAUCCAAUGACCAACCUUCUUCACAGACACACACAAUGUGUGUGUGUUGGUGAGCGUACCACACCUUCUUUGAACUAUAUAAAUACGUCCCAAAGACUUCCAUAUUCGCCUCUAGAAUAUUUUGGAGGAGCCCUCCAAUAUGGAAGAACAAGAAGCCCCACCACCACUUCCACCGCCACCUCCGCCACCACCGCCACCGCCGCCCACCAACCCUCCUUGUCUCUUCACACCUUCUAUUUCAUCAACCCUUCUGCCAAAUACGAAUUUGGAAAGCUUAAUGUCUUGUAAUUACAAUCAAAAUCAUAUCUUUGAACAAAAUGCUGCUGAAGCAUCUGUGAAUGUGGCCAAAUUUGCUUAUGAAGAUAAGAGCGAAAAUAUUAAGGAUAAAAGAAGAGGUGGUCGAAAUAGAAAAUCCACCAUUCCAAGAUUUGCCUUUCAAACCAAGAGUGAAGAAGAUAUACUUGAUGAUGGCUAUCGUUGGCGAAAAUACGGCCAAAAAUCUGUCAAAAAUAGCAAGUUUCCCAGGUUAUUCUUCAAAUUUUCAACUUGCAUGGCCAUUUUUUCUUAUAUUACGAAUAAUUUUCCUUUUUAGAAAAUUACAAAACCAUAUUCGAGGUUUUUUUUUUUACGAUGCCAAAAAUAGAUGUGAGUUUUGGAUUAUAACUUUUUCUCUUUAUUUUAUAUUUGAAACUGUUACUAAAGAAUGUUAAAAAUUUUCUCGCUAUUUUUCUCGUUCGUUAGGAUAUUCUUCCACAUUUUUUGAUUAAGAAAAAAGUUUAUUGUUUUUAGCUAAAAUAAUAAUCAAAAAUAUUUUUGGUAACGUUUAAACAAAAUUAAAAAAAUGUUAAGAAAAGUUAUAUAUGUUAUGCACAUAUACAAUUGAGAUCACUUUCCCUUUUUACAAUAAAUUAACAAAUAAAAUAACUGCAUAUUUUAGAUUAAUAGUUUAAAGCACAACAACAUAGGACAAGUCAAAUUUUAACAAUCUGAAAUUUUGAUAAAAUUCUCUGCUCAUUUGCAAUUGCAAUCAUAUUGUAAGAUAUGUAACCUUCUUUUUUCUUUUUCUUUUUUUUUUUUUUUUUCAAGAUGCAAAAAACUGCUAUUGUCUCCGGAUCAAAGUUUGGAUUUCCUCUUUCUAGUAAGAAGUUUGUCGAUUUUGUUACUUUCGUAAAAAAAAGAAAAAAUUAACUAGGCAAAUAUUAUUGAGACUUUUUUGUUAAUGGCAAAUUUUACUUCGAAUAAAAAAGAUAUAAAUAUUAUGCAUAUAAGCAUUUAAAAUAUUCAUUUUGAAAAGACUGGCCUUUUACAACGAACAUCAAUUACGUUCUUAAUCACUUUGUGCAACAAGAGGGUUAAAAAAAAAAAAAAAAAAAAAACUUUCUUUAAGUUAUAAAUAAAUUUUUAAAGCUAAACAUAAGAAAUUAGAAAAAUAAGAAAAAUAAUUUUAAAAUAAGCAAAAAAUUAUGGUUUAAUAUUGCACUCUCAUGUAAAUUGAUAUUUGUGUUGGUAGAGGGAUAUAGACACGUGUGAACACAUAUAUACACAAAAACACAUCGCAAGGGAAGAAUAUAUAUAGGGCCCAUUCGGUAGUGAUUAUAAAAAUUACUUUUUUGACCGUUGGGAAGAAAAGUGGAAGCCACCUGUGAGUGAAGAAGUAAAAAAUAACGGCUAAAAUCAUGAAAUAACUAUUAAAAAAAAUCAAAUUUUUGGGGUGAAAAAGCACCACCAAACGGGGGCAUAAUAUACCCUCUUUUCGAUAACCACUUUUUCGUGCAUAAUAAUUUUUUUUUUUUUUUAUAUCUCCAUAAAUUAUAUACCUGUUUUCGAUUGAUCCUCAUUUUGAAAUUUUACCUUCAUCAUCUUGCAUGGAAAGGAGCUACUAUCGAUGCACACAUCACACAUGCAACGUGAAGAAACAAGUACAAAGGCUAACCAAGGAUGCGAGCAUUGUUGUGACAACGUACGAGGGAAUCCACAACCACCCGUGCGAGAAGCUAAUGGAAACUCUGAGUCCCCUUCUCAAACAAAUCGGGUUCCUCACUAACAGGUUCUAGUAAUUCGUGUCAACUACUGCAGCCGCAAAAUCUGCCAAUGUUUAGAGAACGUGUAUGUUUUCAACUUGACUUUGUAUGCUUUUGUAAUAUCUUAUAUAUAUCUAAUGAUAUUAAUUUGAAAUUGAAGUAGUUGAAUCUGAAAAGUGAAAGAGGGGUUGCUUGAGUAUAUUAAAAACGGGUGGGAAGCCAAUGGAUUUGACCCGAUCGAUUAUAUGAAGUUGGGUUGGUGGGAGAAGUUAUAUUGUUUGAAUUCUUGAUUUACAAGUAAGCCCGUUUGGAUUUAGUUAAAAAAGUUAAUAAAAAUCAAAGUCAAAAUUAAUAAUUAAUUUAAUUUUAAUCAUAUAUUUCAUGAGAUUCAUAACUUUUAUAAAUUUUUUAUUAAAUCUCCCAUAUAUGCAUUACAAGGGAGAUACAAAAUAUGCAUUUAAAUUCGUGCAAAAAAUCUAAUGUGCAAUAGUUCAUGUUUGUAGUGUUGCUUUUGUGAAAGAUCAAAUUCAUUCUAUCCUGAAAGGCGGUAUUUGACCGACUUAAGUACCACAGAAGGGAGUGAAUUCAUUUUAAUAACACAUCAUGAAAUCAGAGUGCUCUUCUUCCGAUUUUGAUCAUGUUGUUCUGAUUUUUACACUAUUCAAAUUUGUCCCGAUAAUCUGCAAGUGUAAGUAUCUUCAAAUUGUUCAGACGAGCAAAUGACUCAAUGAGAAGUACUUUGGAGUUUUAAUUCCUCCUUAUUUCUAUGAUACAAAUAAGUGUUGCAUACAAAAUAUUGCUAAGGAUAAUCUCAUGUAAACGAUAUAAGUAGAGUAUUGUAAGAUAAUCACUGCAAGAAACCAUAUAAUGUAAACAAGAUAAGUGGAAUUGUACGAUAUUAAUCUUUAUAGAACACCACAUAUGUGAGGCGGCUUGGCUGAUUGUAAGAGAAUUUUACUUAGGUAAAUUGUCUAGUGCACUUGCAGAGUCAAAAAAGGUUCAAGGCCGAAAUAGUGAAAAUAUCAAAGUUUGAUUUGAGAGAUACUGCUUUGAUCUAUUAUCUAGAUUUACAAUAAUUGCCCACAUUUCACAUCUUAAAUGAAAUGAGCUUACUAUAAUCGAUAGCAUUUUAUGAAUUCGAUAGUAUGGUAAAAAAAAAUCAUCUAUUUCGUUCUUAUCAUACUAUCUGCAAACUAUAAUUCUAAGUAAUUGCUCCACAUAUUGAAAAUUGGUAGGAGCGACAUAUUGAUGUAAAUAUUUCAGCCCGAUGAGCUAAACAGAAUCUCUAUUUUAGAAGCGAAUCAACGAAACCAAUUGACCAAAGGAAGGUUUAAAACGAAAAAUACCUUUAAUAAUUCAUCUUUUUUUAAUAUCUACACUUUUUUAAAUGUUAGUAAGUUGUCCUUUUACUUUUUUCAUGCACGGAUCUUGGUUUCGAUAAGUUGAAACUCUAUAAGAUAAUUUAUAUCUUAAUAGAAUAUAUUAUCGCGCACAUAUUUUUACUUGACGGAUCAUAUAAAUUAUGCACCGAUUUUUGCAAUAGAUGUAGGAACACGUGUAAAAACUACAAGAAAAAUGAGAACAAAGGGCUUGAAUUACUUAAUCUACCUAUGACGAGUGAUUCGAUUCUUCGAGACAUGAGUAUGUGCUUUAAUCCAUUCACCGUAAUGCCUUGGACCAAGCUCAAGGGCGGACCCAGGAACAUGAUUCAAUGAGGGCGAGAAAGAAUUAUGUAAAAAUUAUGAGUUAAAAAAGUAAAUUUAUGGAUUAAAAAUUAUGUGGACUACUUUGUAAAUGUCAAAAAGUAAGGGUCCGCUCCUGACCAGGCUCAUUCAAUGUGUGCACCUCGAGUUGCACAAUUCAGUCGCGCACUUUAUGAUUGAGCACUCCACAUGUAUAGCAAAAUUCUGCUAGGAGUGCUUACUGUAUCAACACAUUAAAUUUUAGUUGAAGUUUCUCAAUGUAAACUGGAAUGCCUCAUUCUAAUAAGGAAAAGCCUGGCCAAUUAAAUUUUAGUUGAAGUUUCUCAAUGUAAACUGGAAUGCCUCAUUCUAAUAAGGAAAAGCCUGUUUGGCCAGGCUCAAGGCUAGGUCAAAUUAUUGGGGGCUGCUACUUUGAGCUUGGCCAAAAAGCAGGGCUCUUCCGAUAAUUAUGUGGGGAUUCAAACAUGCACUCGCAUACACGGACGACCCAAAUCAAUGACUUACACCAUUCUCCACUUUCUCGCAUAUUCCUCUUUCUAAAAUUAUGAAAACGAGACUUAAAAGAAUUAUGUAAAUACCACUACUUGAAAGAGAAGUUGAUUGUUAAAGGUCCAUCUACCUCCUGAAACACCCUUUACUGAUUGGAUUUGUUCCCAAAGUAGAAGGCUAAAAGAUUGUAUCCACCCUUUGACUCAACCCUUAUCCUACGACCUGUCUUCCAUAGUAAUCGCAGCGCCCCAGAGGCCUGCACGAACCGAUCAUAUUCUUACACGACAAUCCAACUUAAUAUGCCUCCGUAUCAUAAAUUCAUCUGAAUCGUCGAGUAACUCAGUUCAUAACCUGAAUCAUAUCGUUGUUUAUAGCAAGUAAAAAUAUCUCUAAAAGACUCUGCAUUUAAAUAGCAUAUUUUAUCAUUUGGAGAUCAUCUAAAAGUUUAGAGAGUCAAAAUUUUAAAAUACUCUGACAAACUCUUUAUAUUUAAUACUUAAUUUUACUAUUCCCAAAAAAUAUUUAUUGUUCUCUAUCUUUUCAUAUUUUAUCAUUUGGAGAUCAUCCAUAAAUUUAGAGAGUCAAAAUUUUGAAAUACUCCAACAAAUUCUUUAUAUUUAACACUUAAUUUUACUAUUCCCAAAAAAUAUUUAUUGUUCUCUAUCUUUUAUUUUCACUAACUUUUCGUAAAUUAUUUUAUUAUUAUCCUACAUUGAAAAUUGAAGCAUUUUGAAUGCAUUUAAUUAUAGAAAGUAAACACUCUCUAAAUUAAAAUGUUAAUUUAAAGAGUUUCUUAGGAUGUGUUUGAUUGAAAGUAUGGAAUUUGUAUGGGAUAUGCAUGAAAAUUGUCAAUUACAUGUGUUCGAUUAAUUUAAUUUAUAGCCUAGAAAAUAUUAUACUUGUUAAUUGUUUAUUGAUGUAUAGAUAAGAGAGAGUGAAUAGAGAGUGAAUUUUCUGAAAAAUAAAAUCAUAUUCCCCCUAAAGAAAAUAGUUUCCUUAAUUUUGAGGGAAAUAUGGUCACGUGACAAAAAGUAGAAAAACAUUUUUCAUAGAAAAAAUGACAAUCAAACAACACAAAAGUAAGAAUUUGGAUAGAAAAAACACAUUUUUCAUGAAAAAUAUUGACAAUCAAACGCACCCUUAAAGAAUGAUUUUAAAUAUCGACUCUUUAAAAUAGAGAAUAUUUCAUAUUUAAAGAGUCUUUUGAAAAUAUUUUUAGAAAAAUAUUAAUCUCAACCAUAUUUCCAAUAGAGACAUACACUUCUCGUGAUUGUAUUUAAUCUCAGAUUAAAUAAUUACAAAUUGAAAAUUUUCUCUUAGCCUCUGAAUUCCUAUUUGAUAUGAAUUAAACCUUAAUUAACAAAAGUUUCAUUUAGAUUUUAAUAAAAUAAAAGAACCUUUUUUUACCCCUUGAACCUGAAUAUUAUUUCAUAAUACCACUAUAGUCUGUAAAUAAGUAUUGAAAUAAUUUUGGAGGAAACAUAAUUGUCCCAAAUUAUAGUAUAGUGAUCGAAUUUGAGACAAAAAUAAAAUCUAGAGUCCUAAUUGAUACAAAUUAAAGUAACUAAAAGUACAAUGAGUCUUGAUGAAAUUAACCAAAACCAGUGAAUAAGAUGAGUCCAAAACAAUUAUCUUUAAGGAUGUUGAUGGGCCGAACUACCUUAGCUCGACACUUCUCACUUAACGUUUUUACUUCUCCCUCUUAAUGCAAUCAUCUCUCUUUACUAGUGAAAAAGAAAAAUAUAAUUAUUAUUCAUUUCUAUUGAUUAAUGUGGCAAAUUUUGAGUACUAGCACCAAUUCAUGACAAAUUGUUAGAAUGGCAACGAAUGAUAGGCCCUUGUCGGCCCUACUUUUUGUGGAAUUUUUGAAAGGUGGGUAAGCAAGAUGGAGAUUAAGAUAUCCCUAUUAUUCAUUUAGUUGAUUAAUUUAUAUAGUAUUAUAUUUUCAAACAAGCGUUAGUUGAUUUCUUGGCAGCUCAUCCAGCUUCAGAUGACACUCAGGCGGAGUUGGUCAUGACAUGGACAACUGUUACUAUUUGAAAUAUUGGAUCCAAGACCUCAUUGAUCAUUUAAUUUAAAUUAUAAACAUAAAAAAACUAAAAUUUAAGGUAGGACGUAUGUAGGAAUGUUAAGUUUUGCGAACCGAGCGGGUUUGACUUGCAAACUAGGUAAGUCGACUCGUAAAUUGAAAGUAAAAUACAUUUUUUGAUUAAAAAAUGAUUAAUUGUGAAUGGUUCAUGAGUCAAUUUGGCUUACCCUACCAGUAGACGAGCUGCGGGUGAGCCAACCCCACAUUCGACAAAACGAGUCUGUUCAUGCUCAAAUCGUCGGUGGAACGAACUUGAUGGUGGACAAAUUGAACGUAUCGACUUUAUCCAUUUAACACGCCUAUACACGCGGAGGUGACUGGGGACGGGAUAUAUACGAGUUUGCACUAGACUCCAAAUGAGAAAAACUUGGGAAAAAAUAAAAUAAUAAAAAGUAAGAUAACUCAUUGCUUCCUGUGUCCCUAUCAUAUUGACACGCAUGAUGAAACCUUUGGACCAUUACACUCCACGUUGCUCGUAUACUAUAGUGUAUAAAAUCGUGUCUAGAAUACGUUGCAAGUGCAUAUAUAUCUAUAUAUUAAUAUACACAUGUACCUGGAUUUCAUUAUUGUCUGAUCCCUGUUGUUCUAUUGUGUAAAGAGAAGAAGCCGAGAAGAGAAGAAGAAAGAUGCAGGAUUUGAUGGGCAAAGCGAAGAAUUUUGUUGCAGAAAAGGUGGCUGACAUGGAAAAACCAGAAGCCGACAUUACAGAUGUGGAUCUUAAGGAUGUUGGAAAAGAGGGCAUAACGUAUAUGGCUAAUGUUUCCAUUAAAAAUCCAUACAGUGCUUCUAUUCCCAUUUGCGAGAUCCAUUACUCCCUCAAAAGUGCUAACAGGUUCACUCUCUUCAUUCCCUGCAUCUAUCCGUAUCUCUUUCUUUAUGUAUAUGCUUGUUUAGGCUCCCUUUGAGCCCCAUUUUCUGAAAAAGUAGAUUUUGAAAUAGAAAAUUUUAUUGGAAAAUAUAUGGUAAAAAAAAAAAAAUUGAAUAUACGUAUGCAAAUUAUAUUAUUAAAAAAUAUGUGAUUGAAAAAAAAUUUGAAAAAAAAAUGAAAUUUCAAAAAAUGGACUCAAAAAGGGCCUCAAUCCAGUCUUUCUCCUCUUCUUCUGGACGUCGACUUAGCGUUGGAAGGCGACGAAGGUGAGUGCCGAUGCCGGCGUCGGCGUGGGGAGGCGACGCUGCUGUGAACAACAGCGUCGUGACAGAUUCGUUUGCCUGUCUCCAUCUCCUCUCUCUUCGACGGUGACUGCGGUUUGGGGGAGGCGAAGUUCGCAUGUUGAUUUUGGUUUAUUUGGUGGUGGGAUGUUUGAUUGUGGUGGUGGUGGUGGUGUUGAUUUUGGAUUCUACAUUUCUCGGUGGUGGUGUUGAUUUUUUAUUGAUUUCUGGUGUUGAUUUGGGUGUCAGUGCGGUUGAUUUAGGUUGAUGGUUGUGUCGUGGUGGUGCGGUGGUUGAUUUUGAGCAGAAAUUAGGAUGGUGCGGUGGUUGACUGGCUGAUUUUGAGCAGAAUUUCCGGCCAGACUGGCCGGAAUUAGGGCCAACUGUUGGGUGGGGUUUGUAGGCAACAUUGUGGGCUUCAAGUUGGUACUAUGAUUCGGCAGCUAUGGUGGCCGGAAAGUGGUGGUUUGACCCUCCAUAGGUGGCAUGGAGUUGAUGGUUGAUGGUGGUGGGGCGGUAUUGAGAGAUAAGAGUUGAAUUUAGGGUUCGAAGUGAACGCGUUUUUGAGUUUCGUAUUUUGAGAAAUAGUUAUCUAAAAUAACAAAAAGAACGCAAUUUUAAUAUUCUCAAAAUGGACACUCAAAAUACAAAAUUUAAAAUAAAUUCAAAACUCAAAACAGACAAUUGAAACACAAAGAGAACAGAGCCUAAAAAUUUAAAUUUGAUGAAAAGAAUAACUCUCUUAUAAGUUAGGGAUGGUGGACAACAAUUCUCUGUCUCAAUUGUUUGAAUUUUGGUUAGAACAAUUUGUGGGUUCCAAAUAUUUAAGAUGAAAAUGUUAUUAUUAUUUUUUUGCACCAAACAUGCUAUAGUACAAGUUAUUUUCCUAAAUAGCAAGUCAAGAUUUAAUUUAUAAAAUGUAAGUCCUGUACAGAAAGUUUUUAUGUUGCCAUCCGUGGGUAGAAGCUUAUCUGAUAUUUGUAAAUAGUAACGUUGAAAAUUAUAUUGGGCGACAUUGAGAAGUUCUGUUUCACUUUAAAGCACAAUCUAAUUUGCCCCAUGUUUAUAAAUUAUCUGUAAUUACUCAAAUCAUUUUUUUUUUUUUUUUUAACACAAUACCUUUUGAUACUUGUAAAAGGCGUAGCAGUUAAACUAUAGACUCGAACUCUAGUCGAAUUUUUAGAACACCACACAAAACUGUUACGCAUUUAUUCCAUCACUUAUUUCUAUCUUUUAUGAUUUAAAAGGUUUAUAUCAAUUCACAAACAUAAACAUAUCGUGAUUUUAACGAAGUAGUAUUUCUGCUUUAUUUAAUUCACAAGAAAACCUAUAUAUAUAUAUAUAUNNNNNNNNNNNNNNNNNNNNNNNNNNNNNNNNNNNNNNNNNNNNNNNNNNNNNNNNNNNNNNNNNNNNNNNNNNNNNNNNNNNNNNNNNNNNNNNNNNNNNNNNNNNNNNNNNNNCCUUCAAGAUAUCACUCGAGGUAUUUUACUAAGUAAAUGGGCAUUUGGUCUAAUAAAUAACUUUUUAUUGAUUUGAGUUAGAAAUAAAUAGCUUAUUUAUUUUUUACACUAUCUAAUUGAAAGUAGAUAAGAAAUUUCGAAUAUUCAAAUAUGUUUGAAAUUAAUAAUUUAUCUAUCUUACGUAUGAACACAGCAUCUGCUAGUGACAGUCUAAGCUCACCACAAAUAUUGAAAGACUUCAAUUGAUCACACAAAUUUAAAAGAUGAUGGUGACAGGCCGAAUGUAUCUUUAGGAAGACAUUGGUGAUUGUGUUCUUGUCAAAAUACGUGUCCAAUUGAAGAAUAUAAAAAUAGUUCUCUUAAUGAUAGAUAAUAAAGAUAUCAGUUUUGCUACAAUUAUAUUUUGGUCGAUAGUUUUGUUUACAUUUCAUGAUGUGACACAUAGUUUCGUCAUUGACUUGAACAAUACUUACAAUAAUCGAUGACCUAGAUUAUUACACAUCAUGAGAUGUCAAUUAAGAUGUACAAAUAGAAUGUAUAAGUAGCUUAUUCGAGGAUAGAAUGUAUAAGUAGCUUAUUCGAGGCAUUGUUUUUUCUAUUUGUGCACAAGUAAAUUUAUGUAGGGGUUUGGUUCCAUCUAAAUGAAAAUAGAUGGCUCCAACAUUUAUGGGGUUUUUCUGCUGAUAUUUUUUUAUUGACAUGAUUAGGAUUAAACUCUAAUCUAGAUUACUUAUUGGUGCUGGGAUGACAUAUAUUCCUAGUCUAGUUUUUUGGGUAUCUCCUUGUGAUUUUGUACUUUCACAAAUUAAAUAUAAUACACUUUCCUUAUCAAAAAACUCUCAAUUUUGGUAGUGUUUUCUCUCUUUUAAGAAUUUUGAGCGUGUUUCGAAGUGAAUUUUUUGUAUGGGGAGAGAGAUUGAGACAUUGGCAGUCAAAAAUUGUUUUUUGAUUCAAGCUGUAUUUUCAAUUUUUGAGAGAUUUGACUUCAAAUACUUCCUGAAUUCACCUUGUUUUUCGAUACUAGUUCCUCAUGAAAUCCAGUGACGAAUUUAGGAUAGGACGAAUAUGUAAAGAAAACACUUAAAAAAAAAUUUACUUGCAAAAAUUCCUUUUUACACACAAAAUUCGUAAAUGGGUUGGAACUGAAGUCCAACCUUGUCCAGUUCCUUUCAAUUCGCCAGUGGGAUGCUUAACAUGUGCAACUUGUACGGGAAGUAGUGUUUCACUCAAGGACAUGCUCUUUGGGAGGAGAACUUAAAAUAGCAUAUCCAGCACCUGUUUUCCAGGGUGACCAAAGGACUUGUGCCAAUUUGAAGGGUUAGAUGUAGAACUUUAUAAAGCAGCAAGUAUUGAAGACUCCUACAAGAGAUGAAUUGGAUAGAAAGAGUCGUCGUGUCAUCCACUUCUUUUAUUAUAUGUUCUAAACACCGGUGACAUGAUUGAUAGAUAAUUUUAUGAUAGAUCUCAAUUAUCUUUAUUUGACUUCUUGUAGAAGAGGUUUUAGAAUAAAUUAUUUUAAUUAGUGUUUUUAAAUUAAUUUUUACUUUUGAAAGAAAGUUUCUCUAAAAGUUUUUCUAACUUCUUACUAGAAGAAGUAGAAAUUACACCCACACCUAUUUUUCAACUUUUCAUUUCAACAAUUGGGUACAAGGUAUUUUCUUUCAAAAAUCAGGUAAACCCUACCCCAAUGCACCUGCCCUAAACAUUUCUACCCAAAACAAACUCACUCCUCCUUUGACUGCUGCUUCAUUCUUCUCUUUUACCUACUAUUUCCAUCUCCGCUCGCCGCGCACCCAUAGCUAUGAAUGGCGUUGCUUAGAGCAUAGUGACUACUUGUUGUCAUUCUUCUUCUCCGGUUGUACUUUCACCUCUUCGCUUGUCAUGAAACGCACAUCAGUGAUGGGCAUUGCUGCAGUCAUUGCUGCAAAGGCGACGAUAUAUGUGCGAUGGGUUUUUCUCUCCAUGUUCUUGCCUCAAAUUUCAUUUUUGUUCCUUUCCUUCCGAUUUUAGUUGUCGUAUGUGCAGUGAUCGUGUGGCGAUGUAACAUUAUAAUAUACUACGAAGAAUGGAGGAAUAAUUGUAAAAGAGACAUGGAAUCAUAGGAUAGUGCAUCAUUAAAUUUUUUAAGUCAAUUAUUUUCAUAUAUUCAAACAGACAUUCUUUAUAAUAAUAAUAAUAAUAAUAAUAAUAAUAAUAAUAACAAUAACAAUAACAAUAACAAUAACAAUAACAACAACAACAACAACAAUAACAACAAAAACGUUAAUUUAAAUUUUUAUCAAAACAUCAAUAAUAAUAAGUGUAGGGGCUCAAAGUCGUGCACAAACACUUUCGGCUUCUCCUAGCCACACUCGAUGGUUGGUUGGCACAAACAUGCUCACGUCCCAACAUUUUGGCCUAAUAGCCGUGCUAGGCCAUUCAAAAGUAGCUUGAUCCAACCCGCUUUUCAUUUCUAAUCCAAAAGAGAGCAGUUAUUAUCAUCUACUAUUGUUAACAACAACAUGUGGAAAUUGGGUCAAAUAACCUCUCACAUAAUAUACUUUGCAAAUUUAGCCCUUGACUAGAAUAAAAAUAUUAAACUAAAUCAUUUAAAUUAAAAUUAACAAACUACCUGAAUUGCCCUUAUUCCAACCAAAGAAAUUUCCCCUUUUCAUUUUCCUUUCCCAAAUCCAUCUUCUCUCUGGAACGUAGAAACAUUCGAAACCUAAAUCCAUCUCUUCCCUUACAUACUUCACCAACAUUUCUUUUCGAAUUAAAAUUCAAACCGAAACAUCAUUUCCCUGGAAGAAAAGAAAAUCUGUCAAAACUAAAUCCCUACAGAUUUUUCGGAAUCUUUGCAUUCAACUUGUAAGAAACAAAGGCAUUGUAGCUUGAAGGAGAUCUCCAUUCAGGACCCUAAAAUGGUGUGCUCGUAAGGGAUCAAUUUGUGAGAGUUCAUUAAUACUGGUUGGAAGCGUUGCUCAUUUGUAUUUAUCAAUCUCCAAGAAUGGUAAAGAUCAAAUAUUCAUACUUGAUUUAUUUAUCUGUUUAUACUUUGCUCUCUUGCUGAAGAUUUAUUGGAGAAAGAAAAAAAGUUAUAACUCAUUGGGAGUUGUGAUUUUUGCAAUAUUGGGUUGUUGGGCAAUUUUGUAUCUGAGUAACCAUUUAUAUGGAAGCAGCUACUAUAUUUCUAAAUUUAUAUGGAGGGCUUGGAGUUAUUCCAUGUCUCUUUGUUAUAAUGAUUUAUUUCCUAGGUAAUUUUUAGUGCAAUUUCUCAAUACACAAUGUCAACAGAACGAGGUGAUUUUGGACUCUUUAAUUGAAAUGUCGAUUCAUAAUAUUCUAAAAAUGUCAUUUUUAAUGUAUGAAUGACCCAAUAAGGUGUUAAUAAACUCUGUGACUCGAGUCUUGUUGUAUUAAAUAAGAAUUCCUAUAUUCUGUGCAAAUAAAAUUUUUAGCUAGUAGCAAUUUCUAAAGCCUUUUCUUACUGAUAUGAUUUGUAUAGUUACGCUUCACCAUCAUUUCUUCCCUUUCAAAUGCCUAUUCUUCUAUAUCUUCUUCCUCUAAAUGAGGUUAGCUGUAAUUAUUCUUCCAUUUGAAAAGCUACCACCAUCUCGAGCACAGCUUCACCAUGAACAAGUUCCAAUGCGAACAACCAACGUGAACAGCUCAUUCAAGGAACCAAUUUCUAAGUUGUCUAACCUCAGGCAUGAAAGUGUCAUCAAUUUUCCAUUGUUGAAAGAUUUUGUGUGAAUUUUGUGAAAAAUGUUGGCUUCUCAACACGUUAAUAUUUUGUUAUUGUAUCCCAUUUAGUUGUUUUUUUUCUUGAAAGUAAGUCUCUUGUAUCUUAACCAUCUUUCUAAUCCAUUCAUGUUGGUUUUUUGGUAUCAUUGACACCCCUCGAUCAAUGGUUAAAUUUGGGAAGUUUGUUGCUCUUUGAUUCUUUCUUUUUUACUUUUUGUAUGCACUAAUGGUUUUUAUUGGGUAUACGAGUGUUAGAUAUAAUUUUAAACAAGAACAGGUAGUAAGGAUUUAUAAGACUAGCGGUUGAAUUGGGUAUGCAUUCAUUUAUGUGGGUUUGUCUAUUUUUUUUCUCAUUCAAUUAGUUAUGCAUUAAAGAAGUAAUUAUUUAAUGAAAAACAAGUUUCCUGGAUUUUAUUGAAGUAAUUGAUAUGUAUGUUGAAGGAGAUUGAACGUCUUUUCACCCUCACAUUCUCCACCCUGAAUUUUUUUAAGGUUUUUUGGUUAGCCAAAACUAUGAAUGAAUCAAUACAAUUUUAACCGUAGUAGGAAUAAAGAAUUUUUAAUAGUGAACAACUUGUAGAGGAUCUAUAUAUAAUGUAUGGGUUUAGAAUGAUUCCACCAAAACAGAGAACAAUUGUAGAAAUUCUACGUGUGUUAACGAUGCCUGUAACUCCCCAAGUUAAAGGGUAAGUUCUGUAAAAGUAUUAUUGGGCAAAUGAUUCUUUAUCAUAGGUUUUCGAGUUAAGAACUAGUGACUUAUGCAAUAGCUUAUAAGUAAAGAUAGUACUAAUUAGGUAAAAGUUAGGGGAAUGGUGACUUAGGUCGUUAAGGCACGUGUUAGACCCAAAGCUGCUUAUGUUUUGUUAAUCUUAGCCAAUACCUCUUUGUUUUACUUUAACAUUCAAUUACUUCAGAAUUGCAAAAAAAUGCAUGAUCGAAUAUUAUAUUGGGAUAUUUUUGGCAGAAUUUAUAAUCCUUGUGGAUUUGGAUAGUGAUUUCAUUCUUGCCAUUUUCAUUAAAGGAUCUUGUGAAUUGUCGUCUAUUAGUUUUUCUCAUCAUAACUCAUUUUCAUUUGAAUUGGAUGUAACUAAAUUAGGCCGUCUUUCUUGAACACAUAUUGUUAAAUUAUUUAUAUCAUUUACAUCUUUUCAUUGAUUAAUUAACAUGAUCAUUUUAUGAUUUUUUUUAUGGUAGAAAUGGAUCACCCAUUUGAGAAUGUGAUUAUCGUUGAAGAUAGAAUUAAAAAGAGACCUUCACAGAAGUGUUCCCUUCCAAAAACUUGACUACAUUCGGGAGAUGUUAGAUAACGUUCAUAGAUAAGUGGUACAUGCCAUUUUGGGCGACAUUCUCGAUUUCACUCUGAAAUUAACAUAAUUGUUUUCAUUGUAUUUUUUCAAUUUUAUGUGAUCGAAGGAUAUAGGACUUAGAUGCUAAUUUUGUCUAGAUAGAAGUGUUUUGUAUGAUUUAGUUGGAAAUAAGUGCAUGAAUGCUAAUUUUGUAACGGAUGCUAACUAGUGCAACUAUAAAAUUUUGCAAUGUUUUGCAUUGUAGGAAUGUUUUAUUCAAAUAUUGAAGUAGUCAGGGUUGAAACAUAGUUGUAGUUAUAUGAUAGCUUGAUAAUUUAUAAAUGGAAAAAUAGAUUGUAUUAUUAACUACGCAAAUUUAACCAAUCUAGAAAACGACAGUCAUACAUUUAAAAUGACAACAUGCUGUUUUGUGUCCUCAGUCUCACUAAAAAAUAAAAAUUGGAAUGACAACAUGUGGUUUUGGGUAACAGGAUCUCAACUUCACUUGAUCAUAUUGAACGAUUACACGUGUUAUAUUUUUGUAUACUCUACCCCCUAAAUGGGACCCUUACGUGUAAAAUAAUAGCAUGCCGUUUUGCGUCAAGAGAUCUCAAAUUCACUCCAAAACUAGUAAAAUAGUAUUUUGAACAUAUAAGACUUGUACAUUUUGAACAAUUACAUGUUUUUCUGUUUUCUAAACCUUAUACCCUAAAACCUAAACCCUAUACCUUAAAAACUAAACCCUGAACGGCAACCUUCCAUUUAAAAUGAUCGGAUGCCAUUUAGCAUCACGGGCUAUUGAUUUCACUUCAAAAUUAAUAAAAUAGUAUUUCGAACAUCAUAUAUGAAUUGUACAUAUUGAAUAAUUACACGUUUUUCUAUUUUGUAAAUUCUAUACCCUAAAACAUAAACCAUAUACCCUAAAACCUAAACCCUAAAUGGCAAUCCUUUGUUUAAAACGAUCAGAUGCUGUUUUGGGUCACGGGAUAUCAAUUUCACUCCGAAACUAGUGAAACAUGCUUUGAAAUAUCAUACAUGUCUCGUACACACUAAAUGACUACACAUACUAUGAUUUGGAUGCGAUACUUCCUACUUACGUUUUUCUUUUUUGUCAAGUAAAGUGUAGUUUUCUAGCAAAUUAUGAAGUGACUCACCAUAAUUUGAACAAAUAUGUUGACCACAAUGUCAAAAUGCAGUUAAAACUUUCAUCUCUAUACUUUUACAUGGUUUCGAGUGUGAAUGAACUAAAAUGAACACUAAAUGAGUAGAAAUGUUAGUCAUACGUUUAAACAACCAAAUACGGUUUGGGGUCAUGAGAUAUCGAUUUCAUUUCGAAACUAGUAAAAUAUGCUUUGAAACAUCAUACAUUGAAAGACUACACAUGCUAUGUUUUGGAUACCAUAAUUCUUAAUUAAGUUUUCUUUGUUGUCGAGUAUAGUGUAGUUUCCUACCAGAUUAUGGAGUGACUCACUAUAAUUUGAACAAAUGUGUCGACCACAAUAUCAAAAUGUAGUUAAAAUUUUCAUCCCUAGACUUUUACGUGGUUACGAUGCGUGAAUGAACCGAAACGAAUGCUAAAUGAGUGAAAAUGUCAGUCAAUACAUUUAAAAUGACCAAAUGCCGUUUCGGGUCACAGGAUACCAAUUUCACUAAAAAAACUAGUAAAACAUGCUCUGAAACAUCAUACAUGACUCUCACAUAUUGAACGACUACAUGUGCUAUGUUUUGGAUACCAUAAUUGCUACUUACGUUUUUCUUUUGUUGUCAACUGUAGUGUAGUUUCCUACCGGAUUAUGAAGUGACUCACUAUAACUUGAACAUAUGUGUCGACUGCAACGUCGAAAUGUAGCUAGAACUUUCAUCCCUAAACUUUCACGUGGUUACAAAUGUGAAUGAAUCGAAAUGAACAUUAAAUGAGUAGAAACGUCAUCCACGUGUUUAAAACGAUCAGAUGCCAUUUUGGGUCACGUGGUAGGAUUUCACUUCGAAACUAGUAAAACAUGUUUUGAAACAUCAUACAUGGCUCGUACACAUUGAACAAUUACACAUGCUAUGUUUUGGAUACAAUACUUGCUACUUACGUUUUUCUUUAUUGCCAAAUGUCGUGUAGUUUUCUUGUCGAUCGCAACGUCGAAAUGUAGUUAAAACUUUCAUAUCUAAACUUUCACGUGGUUACAAGCGUGAAUGAAUUGAAACGAACACUAAAUGAGUAGAAAUGUCAGCUUUAGAUUGAAAAUGAUUAGAUAUUGUUUUGAGUCACGGGAUAUCAAUUUCACUUCGAAACUAGUAAAAACAAUGUUUGGAACAUCAUAGAUAAGACAUACGAGUGAACGAUUGUACAUGCUAUGUUUUGUAUACCAUACUUGUUACAUUUUCCUUUAUAGUUAAAUAUAGUGUAGUUUCCAAUAGAAUGUACGAUGUCUCACUAUAGUUUAAACAAAUGUGUUGAUCACAACGUCGAAAUGUAGUAGAAUCUUUUAUCCCUAAACUUUCACAUGGUUAUAGCGUGAAUGAACCGAAAUAAACACUCAAUGAGUAGAAAUGUCAAGCAUACGUUUAAAAUGACCAAAUGCCAUUUUGGGCCACAGUGUAUCAAUUUCACUUCAAAACUAAUAUGUCGUUCUAGGUCUUGAGGUCUCAAUUUCGCUCCAAAACUGUUCGAUCAUAUUUCAUACCAUCUUAGACGACUUAUAUAAGUUAAACAUACUAAUUUGUUGAGUAUCUUAUCUCACAGUUGGAGUAUCAUUGAAUUCAAAUUAAUUACAUACGUUCAUAGUGACAUUUAGCAUAGUUUACUUACGAAAUAAUAUUGUUGGUUACUAUCUCGUUAACUUUUGUAGCGACUUUGGUAUCUAAAUGUAAUGAAAACUUGCAUUCGUUCAUUUUCAUAUGGAUACAAAUGAACAUAAAUUGAAAUGGACACAAAAAUAGUUAAAACGGCACUCAGGAAUUUAAAAUGAUAGCACACCAUUUUGGGUUAUUGAAGUCUCGAUUUCACUUCAAAACCAGUCAUUAAUAUCUCGAAAAAUUUUAUAAGACUUAUACAAAAAAUAAGCUAAAUUAUUCAGUAUCUUGUCUCAUAAUUUGAAUAUAAUCGAAUUUUUAGAUUACCUAACUUAGUUCGUAGUUAAGUCUAGUGUAGUUUACUCAUAAAACAAUAGUGUUCAUCGUUAUCGCAGGAACUUUGUAUUGAUAUUGGUGUCUAAAUGUAAUGAAAAAUGCAUUCGUUCAUUUUCAUGUAAAUAUGGAUGAAAAUAAAAUGAAACGUUGAAAUGAUACCUAAUCAUUUAAAAUGACAGCAAGGCAUUAUGAGAUCUUGAUUUCACUCUAAAUAUUGUUAAAAUGUGUCUAUGUUAAUUUUAAUGUGAAAACGAGAGAGCAAGUAAAACGAAAACAAAAAUUAGUUAAAACGUCAUCGAACGGUUUAUAAUAACAUCAUGCCGUUCGGGUCACGAACCCUUAACUUCACUUCAAAUAUGAUUAAUACUUUUUUAUAUAAUUUUCACGUGGAUAAGAGUGAAUAAAGUAAAAUGAACACGAAAUUAGUUAAAAUGACACUCAAUCAUUUAAAAAGGCGGCAUGCCGUUUUGUUGUUGAUUUUUAAUUGUGUAUGAAAAGUGAGAAUGAAAGUAGGAUCUAUGUUUGGAGAUUUUGGUAAAUUUUGACUUCAAAUUGGGCAUUUUAGACAUUUCACAAUAAGGGUAUUUGAGACUUUAACACAUGAUGAAAUAGAGUAAAUGCUAUUUUUUCGAAACAUUAUUAAGUGUAGGCUAUUUUACCCAGAAACUUUGUUGACUAGGCUCAUUAAGCAAAUCCCCCUUGUUACAUAUCUAUUCACUUUAAAAAUAAAAAAUAAAAAUGGUUGAUCAUGUGCACAAGCCUUAAGCAUAAAUUGAAUGAAGUAAGAAUUUGUUGACCACAUCAUCCGUGCAGAAAUCGAGGUCUAUAAUAUAUUCUUUGUAUCUACCAUCUCUAUCACCGUCUUCUCUAUAUUCACUUGCGUCUAUCAUCUUUGUCAACAUCUUCAUGAUACCUUUCAUCAUUGUGCUGACCUUUUUCGUCAAUAUCUUCACGAUAUCGAUUAUCUCUAUGUCUAUUACCCCUCUCGUCAUCUUCAACAUACUUAUGAACCUUGUUCUGAAUAUCUCUUGCAGUGCCUUCUUUUCUCCUUUGUAUCCUUUCCUAGAGUUCUUUUCCAACUCAGGAUUCUGCACCUCAUCUUGUAAAGCCCACUCUACCAAAAAAAGUAUAAAUAUAGAUUAAGUAAAAAUCAAGUAAUUAAAAAUAUGAUUGAUCGUGCCAGUAGAACUCAGCAAACGAUCUAAGACGGCACCAAAGAUUUUUUCAUAGGCCCGACUUGAACUUUUUAAAAGAAAAAUGAUGGGAUGUUGGAAUUGAAAAAUGAAGUUCAAUUUAAUAAGAUCAAUCUAUUCUAUUCUAGUUUAACUUUUAAAGUUUGAUAGAUUGAUAAAAGUGGUGUAGAUAUAUAGUAUUUAAAUAAAUAAAUUUAAUAAGGAUAAUGUAAAGACAUAAUGUAAAUGAAUAUAAUACUUUUUUAAAAAUUUAAAAUUUUUAAUAAAACUAGAUUUAAAGUAGGAUAGAAAUAUUAGAAUGAUUAACUAAAAUAGGACUCUCAUCAAUAUAAGACUCUGAUUCAUGAACCUAUAUCACCCAAGGGACAGAAGACUACUUGUAAAAAGCUCUGCGUAUAACUAGAUACUGGCGUCACAGGAGGGCAACGUAAUGAUGGCUGUGAAAUUACCAUGGGAUAUCAUCAUCGAAAUACUCUCCAGACUUCCUGUAAAAUCUCUAAUACAUUUUAAAUGUGUUUCAAAUCAUUCCACCCUUUGAUUUCUAAAGAUCCCAACUUCAAAAGGAAACAUAUGAAUCAGUCUGCGAAGUCUGUUCUUUAUCUUGAAUCUCCAGGAAAUCGGGUUUUGUCAAACUCCCUUUCAUCUUUUUACAAUGACGAAGAACCCAUUCAGGACUGGAAGAUUCUUGAUACUCCAAUUAAAGGGUCAGAGAUUCGGACCACUUACGAUUCUUGUGAUGGAUUGUUUGGCAUUUAAGAACGAGGAGGAUAUGUGUGUUGUUUUUGGAGUUUGAAGUUACUCCUUUAAAAAAACAAUCCGACAGAAUCACCUGAAUGUAAGAAAUGAUCAACAGGAUCCAAAAUGUAAUUCAAGCCCACCGACUUCACGAUAUUUUCUUAAAACGAAUUUGUUGCCUUCAAUGGUGCUAAAGACGUCCAGCAAUCGUUUCCUAGGAUAGAACAAAUUUUCGUCUCCUACGGAAGCAGCACUGCAAUCUGCAAGAGUUUCAAAGAACUCAACGAAGUGUGUUUUACUUCGAAACAAUAUCAGAACGAGAGAGAGGGGAAUAAGAUUCAAAGCACAUAUAGUUUGCAAUGAAAAUGGUGUGAAUUUUCUGGUAGAGAGGCAGUCUAUUUAUAGACUUCUUCAUAGCCAUUCCAACAGUCGUCACCUUUCAGACAAAUCUCAAAAACUCGGAACAGACAUGUUUUCUAAAAGUUGCGUCUGUUAAGUCGGUUAACAGUCGGCUAACAGUUGACUGUUUGGUCGGUUAACAAACGACUGUUAAACAAUCUAUUCAGAUAAAAAAAUCACCCAGAAUAAGCCAAAAAUUUAAAUUUCAUAAUGUACCUAAGAAUUUGAUUAUUUAUAAUUUGGUCCAAAAAGUUAAUAUAGUGCAAAGGUCCAUCUGCACCCGAACCGGACUCGGACACGGAAACGUGCUCGUGCUGAGCCGGCCGAUCGGAUGGACGGCGGCGCACACGUGUGAGUUUAUGACCGAACCCAAUAGGAUAUAGGUCUUCCCCUUCCAAAGACUAUUGGUACCCCUUGGGGUCCAAACCCAAUUCUAAACUUCCACCUUAUAAACCACACCAAAAAUUCCUAACUUUCCUAUGUGGGAUAAGUGUUUGGAAAAACAAAUUCUUCCAUAAUACUUAGUUUUAUAUGGGUUGCUUUAACACUUAAUAUUUCAUUCAAUUUUAAAUGGUUUUAAACAAAUAAAUAUAUCACGUUAAUCAUCUCGCGGAGUAGAACGUGAAUAUUCUAGGUCCAGAUAGAACGUGAAUAUACUAGGUCCUGUAUUAAUUAAAAGGUGGGUCCUACUGAAAUUUGAGCUCAAAGUUGACUCAUUUCAUAAUCAUUUUUCCAACAAUCCCCCACAUGAAUGAAAUAUAUUGGCAAUGUCCAAACGAUAACAUCUGAUAUGUUUUUCAAAGUAAAAAUUGAAGAAGACUGCAUCGGGAUAAGUAGUCAAUGACUUUGAACUUUUCCUAGUAAAAUCUAUCGAAUUUCCUUAGCCAAUUAGUAGCAAGUUGCUUUGAACAGUCAGCCGUUUAUGGAAACCUAAACAAUAGAAGUUACACAGUUUUCUUCGAACAUAGUUGGUUCUUACGUUUGUGUCCAUUUUGGCUUUGGACACCUCUUGGUUCAUGAGUGAUUUUUAGAGAAUUCAUCUUCACCUAAUUCUCUUAGAAGCGGCCCCUUCUCACUCACAUAGGUAAUUUUCAUAAAGAGUAUUCUGCUAUACUCCACUUGAACGAAUCAAGCUAUAGAAAUAAUUAAAAGCGUAUCUUAACUUAUUUCGCGGCAGCUAGGCACUGGCUCAUCAUAGGAAUGGAUAGGAGUAAAAUCUUCCCAGUGCAUACUAAGUUUUUCACAGUGCGAUUGUCUCAUUGAACCUCGAUCUUGAGAUCUCCAAUCAACUAGGUUGGGUUGUCACCAUGGAAACUUUGAUUAUUUUAUUAGUUUUAAUCUCAUCCCUUUCGAUAAACUUUCUACUUGCUCUCAUGUUAAACUUUUAGUUAGCGAAUCUGCAAUAUUCUCUUCUGAUUUCACAUACUCCAUAGAGAUAAUGCCAGUAGAGAGCAAUUGUCUAACAAUAUUGUGUCUACGACGUAUAAGUCGAGAUUUACUGUUAUACAUUACAUUUUGUGCCCUACCAAUUGUUGAUUGACUAUCGCAAUGAAUACAUAUAGCAGGCACAGAUUUUGUUCAACAUGGAAUAUCUUCUAGAAAGUUUCGUAGCCAUUCGACUUCUUCUCUAGCUUUGUCUGAUGCAUUGAAGUUAGAUUUCAUUGUUGAUCUAGCUAUACAUUUCUGUUUUGAAGAUUUUCAUGAUAUGGCAACACCUCCAAGUGUAAAGACAUAUCAACUUGUUGAUUUGAUGUCUUUAGUAUCUGAUAUCCAAUUUGCAUUACAGUAUCCUUCAAGUACUGCUGGAGAUCUCGAAUAGUGCAAUCCAAAAUUUUGGGUAUGUGGGUUUAUGACCGAACCCAAUAGGAUAUAUGUCUUUCCUCUUUCAAAAACUAUUGGUACCCCUUGGGGCCCAAACCCAAUUCCAAACUUCCACCUUAUAAAUCACACCAAAACUUCCUAAUUUUCCUAUGUGGGAUAAGUAUUUGGAAAAACAAAUUCUUUCAUAAUACUUCGUUUUAUAUGGAUUAAUUUAACACUUAAUAUUUCAUUCAAUUUUAAAUGGUUUUCGACAAAUAAAUAUAUCACGUUAAUCAUCUCGCGGAGUAGAACGUGAAUAUGCUAGGUCCCGUAUUAAUUAAAAGAUGGGUCCUACUGAAAUUUGGGCUCAAAGUUGACCCAUUUCAUAACCAUUUUUCCAACAAUGUGUUCAUAUGGAACCCUUCUACCAGAGAAUCGAAAACACUUCCAGAUUGUCCUAUUGAUAUCAAAAUUCUUCCUCGUAUCAUCUAACGUGGAUUCAAAUAUGCGUUAGCUUAUGACUCAAUCUCACAUGACUAUAAAGUAUUCAGUAUUUUCUUAUUUCUUGAUAUUGGAAAGGUCUUAAGGACUGAGAUAAAAUCCUAUUCGCUGAAGAGUGAUUCCUUGUGGAGAAAAGUUGAGAAUUUCCCAUGUGAAGAUCUCUGGAAUAGGGAAAAUUUUAACUUAUUGAACGGAGCAUUCCACUGGAUUACUCCACAAAGGCAAAGGUAACAUUGAACUCCCACCUCUUCUGCUUGUUUCACUUGAAAUAGGAACUGAAACAUAUAGAAAGUUAUCACUACCAUGGAUUGGGUAUUAUACUCAAAGUUUUCCGCAAUUAUGUGUAUUGAAGGGAAAGCUUUGCUUGUACAGCCUUUCUUCAGUAAAUCGUUUGAUUUAUGGGUGAUUGAAGAAUACGGUGUUAUGGAAUCUCUGACAAAAAUGUUUACUAUUCCUUUCUAUGAGGAUCGCGGGGGGGGGGGGAGGUACAAAACAAAAAAACAAAAAUUUGAUGGUCUUUCUGUCAGCGUUUAAUGUUUAAGAAUUCGCUUUCAAUUUAUUUAUUUAUAUUUUUUUCUGUCAGUUUAUUGACAUUCUGUAUAUAAGUACUUAAGUUUGGUUUAAGAUGGUUUGAUUAAAAGUUUGUGAGGCUCUGUAUGGCAAUGAUAAAUGUUUAAGAACACUGUUUUGUUUUGACUCUUGGAAAGAAUUCUAUAAACUUUACUGUGUAUAUACUACUUUUCCCAAGUGAUUAUAAUGCAGUAAACACGGGAGUCCUAUGAUGAAUUCAGGCUGUUUAAUGGAAGUAUUUUGCUGUCGUCGUUUACCAUGACAUCCGGUAUAUGUCCGGUAAGUGGAAAGGCGGUCGAGCUGACCUGCCUUUUCUGUCGGGUCAGAUCAAGCCAAGUGCAAAGCUUGGCAUGGUCUACCCUAAAUAGUCUUUGAUAAAAUGGAUUGAAAUCUUGGAAGUCACUUCCAACGAAAACAGCUGAUAUAAAUUUCAACUCAGUAACAUGGAGUUUGCUUGGGAUUGCAUGUUGUAAGGAACAUAAAUCCAGCAGCAUUCACAAAUGCUUAAAGUAUAAAACUACCUGGGAAAUCUUAUUAAAUGUUUAAACAUUAUAAAGAACGGAACCUAAAGACUGAUGUCAACAUUAUCAAUCUCAACAACCCUUUUUCAUUGCUCAUUUUUCAGCUAUAAGUAUUCAACAUUUCAACUUCCCUUCUUUGUUAAUUAAUUUCAAUCUCAUUCUCAUCCACAAGAUAAUUUUUAUAGUAGGCAAACUAAGAAGCAAAUUCUGUCAGUUUUUUCGUCAUUGAUAUCUCAUAAUACACGAAUAGUUUCAUUAGUCGUGGCUCGACAAGGCAAUGGUUGAACUUUUUGUUCACAAAACAAGCAAUUGACGGGGUGAGAUGUGUGACAGGAGUCAUCACCUUAUUGAGUAUGUGCAUGCAUCUCUAUCGCAUCCUGCUGAGCACUUCUUGACAACAGAAAUCAGAAAGUAUGUCAGGAUCAAACCUAAUAGACUCAAAAAACAGAAUUUCAUGGGAGCUAAUCAUACUUUCGCUAGCAUUAGAUGUGCAUGGUUUUCGAUGAAAAAAUAGCUUGAAGAGUAGGUGAAAUACGAGAACUUCACUUGAUUAGCAAGAAACACAAUGAGAAAGGGACUAUUCAAGUCAGCAGAUUGCUUCAAUCUUGAAGAUCAUGAAUGGCUUAGAUGGAUUGGGUUGGAUUGCAUCAUAGAUACUGGUACAUUUGCUGCAAGAAUGAGUGAAUCCAAUGUCAAUAAAGUUUCUGCUUUCAUAAAUCUUGGAGGACCCAUUUACCAAAUUUAACACCAUAGGCCGAUAGUAGCCAUUUUCCUCAAUGAAGCAGCAGUAAUUCUCUUCUUAAUCUUCACUCAAAGUCAAAUUUAAAGACCCCGUUGUAAGAAUGAACAAAGUUACAGUCACGAAAUUACUCGAUCUCAUCAAGGCAACCAUUCCAACAUGUCCCUUACAAGAUGCUUCUGUCAUAAUUCCUAACAAUUACCAGAACACAACAGCUCUUUUUCAUAAUGGAACAGUAAUAAGAAGCCCCCGGUGCCCGCCCAGUAAGGAGAUUGCGUGAUGCACAAUGCGCAUGCUCAUAAUAGAUGAUAACGUUACUGAUACGAUACUGUGAUACGUUAGUUUGGCUGCUGAUAUAAAUUCUGUUUUGAUUCCUAUCGAGAGUAAGAGUUUGGAGAGAGUUAAGAUAAUGAAGAUUAUUAAACAUCUAUUUGAGCCUCAUUUUUUUUUUUUUUUUAAAUUCGUUUGUUAAUUACACAUUUUUUUACUAAAAUAAUAUUACAUGCAAAUCCAAAAGUCAAGCUUUAGAAGGUUGAAUUUAAAUCACAAAUAUUUUGUGGAUACAUCUCCCAAUGACCCAUCGGCGUGCAUGUAGUCGACUCUAGUUUCUUUUACAAGUUAGUAGAUAAAGUAAUUUGUCGAAGAUAGUGAUAAGAGAUGAUUCAUACAGUCGAUCUUAAAUUUAUGCAUUUGAUGGUGUUGUGAGAGGAUUCAUAAUUAUAUAGCUUCCUUCAAUUGUCAUAAUUGUACAUACAAGUUCUUUUAUCAUUUUUCAGCACUUGUUUCUUCCUGGAAAGUUGUUAUUUUUGUGUGUGAACUUGAAAGUUACUUUUUGUAAGAUUAAGGGUUCAUUUGAUAGAAUUUCUGCUUCUAGUUUUACUUCUUAUAGAAGAGCUUCCUCAAUAAGUUACCUUUCUUCAUUUUUUUCAAAAAACUCUUAUAAUCUGAGAAAAAGCUUUUAGAAAAUUAUCCAAUCAAGUUAAAAAACAACUUCUUUGUCUCAUAAUCAGCUUUUGGAUUUUUAACAAUUUUAUCGAACGGGGUCCUAAAAUAAGUUUUUUGAAUAGAAAACUUAACUUUUAAAAUCAUGUUUAACCCAAAAAGGUAUUUUGAAAGUUUAAGCACAAUUGAAAAUUACUAUGAAUUUUGUUCUCUAAUUAACAACAAUAAUAUUUCACAUUUAUUUUUCGUGAAAUUAAACUUUAAACUCUCGAAGUCAAGAGGGUUCUGGGUUAAUUGAAAUAUAUCCAUAUAUACAAUUUUGGUGCGCAUAAAAACACUAGAUAGCAUUAGUACAAAGUUGAAGUUUUAUCUCUCAUAGCGUCUAUGCUGAGUACCGAAACAAAUCACUAUAGGCAUUCUUUAUAAAUUAGACCAGAUGAGAUGAGAUGAAAUAUGUCUUUAUAAAUUAGACCAUAUGAGAUGAGAUGAGAUGAGAUAGCAUUAGACUUUUGUUUGGUUCCCAUUAUUUUUAAAAUAUAUUUUUCUCUGACUUAUUUUCAACUACAUAAUAUUCAAUGAAAUAAUAUUACAUAUUCAAAACUUUUUCUUAUUUUUAAAUUACACACUUUCUUUUACCAAAUCACUAUUCCAAGAUGCAAAAAAAUGGGGCAAAAAAAAAAAAAUUGUAUAUUAUCUAAUUCCCUUAUGAGAAAAUUACCCAAAAUCGUAAAUUUAAAUAUACAAUUCAAAAAUAAGUGGGAUUAAUUUUAAAUUGAUAAAUCAAAUGCUGAUUAAGAAUUAUUAAUUUAAUUAAGAAAAAUUUAUUAUACCCCACCCACCCCACUACCUUAACAACUCAGUUCAUUUCUCGCCUCUUCUUUCUCUCUACUAUGAGAUAGUGAUGAUGUUGUACUGGCACAAUUCGCAUUUGCGAGAUCCAUUACUCCCUCAAAAGUGGUAAUAGGUUCACUCUCUUCCAGUGGUAGAUGCAACCUUGAAUUUGGACACGGGGUACAAUAAAAAUAUAUGUGGAUUUAUCUUUUAAAAAAAUAAAAAAAACUAAGAAUAAAGUGGAAUUGUAGGGGCGAAGAUGGGCUAUAGUCCGGUCGAGCCCGUGCUUGCGUAUCUCUUUCUUUAUGUAUAUGCUUGUUUAUGCUCCAUUUGAGCCCCUUUUUUUGAAAAGGUCGAUUUUGAAAUUGAAAAGUUUAUUGGAGAAUAUAUGGUCAAAAGGUAAAUAAUAAUUAUAAUAAAUUGAAUAUAUGUUUGCAAUUAUAUUAUUGAAAAAUAUGUGAUUGAAAAUAAAUUUGAAAAAAAAAAUAUUUUCAAAGAAUGGACUCAAAAAGGGCCUUAAUAUUCUUGAUUAAAGAAGGAAAAAGAGUUUAAAUUUUUAGUAUACAUGAGCUUCUGAAUGCGACAAGGUUAAGGAAGAAAACAAAGUUAAAAUUUUGUUCUUUUAUCUCGAAGAUCUUCGUGAAUUAUGUAUAAUGGAUAAAGAUACUUGUCCAUAUGUUAAUUUUUUGUUUUUUGAAAGUUUUCUGUCUCAUUUACGUGGCAGGCAGAAACUAAAUAGCUAGAACUGCAUGCUGUCUAGGAUGAGAAAACUAUAUAUAAAUUUGAUGAAAAAAGUAACUUUCUUAAAAGUUAGGGAUAGUGGACAACAAUUCUAUGUCUCAAUUGUUUGAAUUUUGGUUAUAACAAUUUGUGAGUUCCAAAUAUUUAAGAUGCAAUUGUUAUUAUUUUUAUUAUUAUUUUGCACCAAACAUGCUAGUACAAGUUAUUUUCCUAAAAAGCAAGUCAAGAUUAAUUUAUAAAAUGUACGUCUGAUACGGAAAGUUUUUAUCUUGCUCAUCGUGGGCAGGAGCAUAUCUGAUAUUUGUAAAUAGUAACGUUGGAAAUUAUACUGGACUACAUUGAGAAGUUCUGUUUUACUUUAAGCACAAUCUAAUUUACCCCAUAUUUAUAAAUUAUUUGUAAUCACUCAAAUCAAUUUUUUAUUUUUCUUUACACGAUACCUUUUGACACUUGUAAAAAGGCGUAGUGGUUAAAGUAUAGACUGCUUACAGGGUCAGCCUUUGGGCCAAGCCACCUAGGCCACCACCUAGGACCUCCAAAUUUUGGCUUGGGCUCGGGGCCUCAAAUUUCAUAUUAAGUCCAAUUUCCAAAAUAUGAAAAAUGGUUUGGGACCUUUGGGAUUUGGGCUUGGAGUCUUGGACCAAUGGAAUUAAAUUUCUUUGGAGACUUGGAGUCCAUAACAUACGCAAUGAACCGCCCCAGCUGGUUUAUCUUUUCAAUUUGACAUUUUCAUUUUUCAACUUCCUCUAAUCCUCUGCUUCGGUGAAUCCAGAUUCUAGAAUUCUCCAGGGCCUCCACUCCAAGCUUCCUGGUUCCAGACUCCCGGGCUUCCAGGGACUAGCGCCAAUGGACGAAAAUUUGAAAUCUAACGCGAAAAACCUCAAUUUCUCGCCUCUCGCAGUCCCGCAUAUCGCACGCCGGAUUCAUUUUAUAUAUCUUUCAGGUCCUUUGUUUUGGUAAGUAAACUGGAUGUCCAGCUCCUUUAUCUGAAUUUCUGAUUAUGAUUUUGUUCAAUAUCUACUGUUAUCACUUAAUUGCUAAGUUUCCUGCCCUGUAGUUCAUGGUGUGUUCACCUUUCUUACGAAUCUUACCGUCUCUUUUUCUGAGUAUUAAUUCAUUAAUGUAAUUAUUCUUUCAUUUCAUUGAAGAUAAUUUUAUGUUUUUGGAAGAUUUUAAGAUAAUGCUAAGGAAAAGGAGCAGAUCGAACCAAAAGAAUCAACUGAUGGAUCAAUUGUUGUUUGAUUCUGUUUUCCUUACUCUCAUAAUCGAUGUUGUUUUCUGUUUAUUUUAGGCCAUUGGAAUGUGUUUGAAAAUCUAAAGCAUGGAGGUAAUAGAACGUGCUAUUUGCUGAAAUUUGGAGAAUUAACAAUGAUAGGGAUUAUGUUAGGAUUAAGCCUGUAAUCUUUCUACAUAUAUGUGCAAAAUGGGAAAUAAAGUGCUUCAAUGAGGCACCAAGUGUUUCACAGCCUCAUUUUCAUUCUGAUGUUUUUGGUUAGGAGACAGGAAUUAAACUAAAAUUAUUUCUGUCUUUAAUGUUCCUAGUCUGUUUGUGGGGUUCAAUCCCAAGAAUUCAGAAUCUGAUUCAAUUAGAAGCCCUACUUCUCCUCUAGAUUUUAAGUUGUUUUCAAAUUUUGGCAAUCCAUUUAGGGUCUCAAAAUUAUCAAAUGAGGGGCAUCAGAAGAGACGGGAUUAUAGUAAAGUAGGCUUAAGCAUUAUCCAUU